RNAcentral lists this long non-coding RNA (58882 nucleotides) under Triticum aestivum (bread wheat). RNAcentral's name for it is "long non-coding RNA (TAES_LNC018057)". The record is from RNAcentral. Lineage: Eukaryota; Viridiplantae; Streptophyta; Magnoliopsida; Poales; Poaceae.
UUUUUUUUUUGUAGUGUAACUACCAUACUUCUGCUACUCCAAAAAUUAUGAAACAAACUGGACCACGUGAGAAAUUUGAAUAUUAAAUUUCCGCAAAAAGAAUCAACUCAAGAGCACUCUUCUGUUAAAUAUGAGAUUCAUUUUUGUGAGACGCAAAAGUUUCUGUUUUUCAGCAGAGUCAAAUCAACAAUCACCCAACAUGAUCCCAAAGGCUUUACUUGGCACUUUAUUGAAACAAAAGCAAUAAAACAUGAUCAAUACAGUAGAAUAAUCAUGUGAACACACAAAAACAGUAGGUAAAAGUGUUGGGUUGUCUCCCAACAAGCGCUUUUCUUUAAUACCUUUUAGCUAGGCAUGAUGAUUUCAAUGAUGCUCGCAUAAAAGAUAAGAAUUGAAAUGUAAAGAGAGCAUCAUGAAUCACAUGGCAAGCACAUUUAAGUCUAAGCCACUUCCUAUGCAUAGGGAUUUUGUGAGCAAACAACUUAUGGGAACAAGAAUCAACUAUCAUAGGAAGGCAAAACAAGCAUAACUUCGAAACUUUCAACACAUAGAGAGGAAACUUGAUAUUAUUGCAAUUCCUACAAGCAUAAGCUCCUCCAUCAUAACAAUUUUCAGUAGCAUCAUGAAGAAAUUCAACAAUAUAACCAUCACAUAAAAGCAUUCUUUUCAUGACACAAAAGCAUAGAAAAUUCAUUACUCUCCACAUAAGCAAAUUUAUUCUCAUCAAUAGUAGUGGGAGCAAACACAACAAAAUAACUAUCAUGAGAGUGAAAAUUAAAACCAUGAUGACAAGUUUCAUGGUGAUCGUUAUUCUUUAUAGCAUACAUGUCAUCACCAUAAUCAUCAUAGAUAGCAACCUUGUUCUCAUAGUCAAUUGAAGCCUCAUCCAAAAUAGUGGAUUCAUCAUUAAAUAAAGUCACGACCUCUCCAAAUCCACUUUCAUCAAUAUAAUCAUCAUAAAUAGGAGGCAUGCAAUCAUUAUAACAAAUCUGCACAUCAAAUCUUGGGGGGCUAAAAGUAUCAUCUUCAUCAAACAUAGCUUCCCCAAGCUUAUGGUUUUGCAUAUCAUUAGUAUCAUGAAUAUUCAAAGAAUUCAUACUAACCACAUUGCAAUCAUGCUCAUUAUUUAUACCAAACAUUAUAUUGAAUUCUUCUUCUAACAAUUGAGCACAAUUAUCUGAACCAUCAUUUUCAAGAAAGAUAUUAUAAAGAUGAUCAAUAAUAUGAUGCAACCUAAAUUCCAUUUUUUUCAGUUUUUAUUUAUAAACCAAACUAGUGAUAAAACAAGAAAUUAAAAUAUUCAAUUGCAAGAUCUAAAGAUAUACCUUCAAGCACUCACCUCCCCGGCAACGGCGCCACAUAUCGUCAAAAUACAAUCAUGCCGAUCAACUAGACCGACCACCACGUGGACGGGACAAAAUGGCAAUUAUGCUGAAUACCAGCCCGCGCCCCCAUGCCGUAGAGGCAAGGAGAUAGCGGCUCCGGGCUACACAUACGACCUACGUCAGGACCUGACCAACAGAGCCGAUCAGACCCGAUCAACCUACGGAUCAAGAGGACGUGCUCCAGCACGAGAUGAUGGCCAUCAGGCCUGGCACGACAAACAUAACCAAGUCCGGGGCCAGCCCCGAACUCGGAUGUCAUCCGAACCCCGUCGCGAUGUGGCCCGGUAUAGAGGUGUCGCGCACCCCAUGUGCUUUACCUAUGAGGUAAUGCAGCACCAGUUUCCAGAAGGGUUUAAACCCGUAAACAUCGAGCCAUACGAUGGAACGACAGAUCCUGCUGUAUGGAUUGAAGAUUUUCUUCUCCACGUUCACAUGGCUCCCGUAGAUGAUCUCCACGCCAUUAAAUACCUCCCUCUAAAGCUAAAAGGACCAGCACGACACUGGUUGAAUAGCCUCCCAGAGAACUCCAUUGGCAGGUGGGAGGACUUAGAGGUCGCUUUUUAGGACAACUUUCAGGGCACUUCUGUCCGGCCACCGGACGUUGAUGACCUGAGUCCCAUAGUCCAGCAACCCGGAGAGUCAGCCCGCAAACUUUGGACUCGGUUCUUAAUUAAAAAGAAUCAAAUUUUUGACUGUCCGGACGCUGAAGCCUUAGCGGCAUUUAAGCACAGUGUCCAUGACGAAUGGCUCGCCCGACACCUCGGUCAGGAAAAGCCGAAGACUAUGGUAGCUCUUACUGCACUUAUGAUCCGCUUCUGUGCGGGCGAAGAUAGCUGGUUAGCUCGUAAAAUCAACAGUGCCAACGACCCCGGCACCUCCGAAGCCAGGGAUGGCAAUGGAAGGCCAUGACACAGCAAAAACAAGCGUUAGAACAACAACAAAGAAACAGAGGAUAUGACAGUAAACGUCGGAUUCAACGGCUCUAAACUGAAGGAAAUAUUCCCUAGAGGCAACAAUAAAGUUGUUAUUUAUAUUUCCUUAUAUCAUGAUAAAUUUUUAUUAUUCAUGCUAGAAUUGUAUUAACCGGAAACUUGAUACAUGUGCGAAUACAUAGACAAAACACAGUGUCCCUAGUAUGCCUCUACUAGACUAGCUCGUUAAUCAAAGAUGGUUAAGUUUCCUAACCAUAGACAUGUGUUGUCAUUUAAUGAAUGGGAUCACAUCAUUAGGAGAAUGAUGUGAUGGACAAGACCCAUCUGUUAGCUUAGCAUAAUGAUCGUUAAGUUUUAUUGUUAUUGCUUUCUUCAUGACUUAUACAUAUUCCUUUGACUAUGAGACUAUGCAACUCCCGAAUACCGGAGGAAUACCUUGUGUGCUACCAAACGUCACGGCGUAACUGGGUGAUUAUAAAGAUGCUCUGCAGGUAUCUCCGAAGGUGUUUGUUGGGUUGGCAUAGAUUAAUAUUAGGAUUUGUCACUCCGAGUAUCGGAGAUGUAUCUCUGGGCCCCUCGGUAAUGCACAUCAUGAUAAACCUUGCAAGCAAUGUGACUAAUGAGUUAGUUGUGGGAUGAUGCAUUACGGAACGAGUAAAGAGACUUGCCGGUAACGAGAUUGAACUAGGUAUGAAGAUACCGAUGAUCGAAUCUCGGGCAAGUAACAUACCGAUGACAAAAGGAAUUAUGUAUGUUGUCUACGGUUUGACCGAUAAAGAUCUUCGUAGUAUAUGUAGGAACCAAUAUGAGCAUCCAGGUUCCGCUGUUGGUUAUUGUCCGGAGAGGUGUCUUGGUCAUGUCUACAUAGUUCUCGAACCCGUAGGGUCCGCACGCUUAACGUUCGAUGAUGAUUUGUAUUAUAUGAGUUAUGUGAUUUGGUGACCGAAUAUUGUUCGGAGUCUCGGAUGAGAUCACGGACAUGAUGAGGAGUCUCGAAAUGGUCGACAGGUAAAUAUUCAUAUAUAGGACGAUAGUAUUCAGACACUGGAAGUGUUCUAGGGGUACCGGGUACGUAUUGGGUCACCGAAAGGGGUUCCGGGCAACCCCCGGCAAGCUAUAUGGGCCUAAUGGGCGAAGAGUUGGAGAGACCAGCCCCAAAAGGGGCUGGUGCACACCCUAUAGGCCGAAUAGGAGGAGAAGGAAAGGAAUGGAAGGGAGAAGGAAAGGGGAGGAUUCGGCCUCCCCCUUUCCUUCCCCUCCCCCCCCCCUCUCUUUCCUCCCCCCUCCGAUGGAUAUGGAAGGGGGGAGGCUGACUUGGAGGAGGCGCCCAAGUAGGAUUACUCCUACUUGGGGCGCCCCUUGCAGCCCCUCUCCCUCUCCCACCUAUAUAUAUGUGGGGGGCACCGCUAGAACACACAACAUUGAUUCCUAGCCAUGUGCGCCGCCCCCCUCCACAGUUUAUGCCUCCGGUCAUAUUCAUGUAGUGCUUAGGCGAAGCCCUGUGCGGAUCACUUCACCAUUACCGUCACCAUGCCGUCGUGCUGAUGGAAAUCUCCCUCGACACUUUGCUGGAUCAAGAGUUCGAGGGACGCCAUCGAGCUGAACGUGUGCAGAACUCGGAGGUGCCAUAUGUUCGGUGCUUGAUCGGUCGGAACGAGAAGAAGUUCGACUACAUCAAUCGUGUUGUCAAACGCUUCUGCUUUCGGUCUACGAGGGUACAUGGACACACUCUCCCCCUCUCGUUGCUAUGCAUCUCCUAGAUAGAUCUUGCGUGAUCGUAGGAAUUUUUUUGAAAUUGCAUGCUACGUUCCCCAACAGUGGCAUCAGAGCCAGGUCUAUGCGUAGAUGAUAUGCAUGAGUAGAACACAAAGAGUUGUGGGUGGUGAUAGUCAUACUGCUUACCACCAACGCCUUAUUUUGAUUCAGCUGUAUUGUUGGACGAAGCUGCCUGGACCAACCUUACAUGACCACGUUCAUGAGACCGGUUCCACCGACAGACAUGCAACUAGUUUUGCAUAAAGAUGGUUGGCGGGUGUCGGUUUCUCCAAGUUUAGUUGAAGCGAAUUUGACUAAGGCCGGUCCUUGUUGAAGGUUUAAACAACAAACUUGACGAAACACCUUUGUGGUUUUGAUGUGUAGGUAAGAACGGUUCUUACUAGAAGCCCGUAGCAGCCACGUAAAACUUGCAACAACAAAGUAGAGGAUGUCUACCUUGUUGUUGUAGGGCAUGUUGUGAUGUGAUAAGGUCAGGACAUGAUGUGAUGUACGUUGUUGUAUGAGAUGUUCAUGUUUUGUAAAAGUUAUCGGCAACUGGCAGGAGCCUUAUGGUUGUCACUUUAUUGUAUGAAAUGCAAUCGCCAUGUAAUUGCUUUACUUUAUCACUAUGCGUUAGCGAUAGUUGUAGAAGCAAUAGUUGGCGAGAUGACAACGACACUGCGAUGGAGAUCAAGGUGUCAAACCGGUGACGAUGGAGAUCAUGACGGUUCUUUGGAGAUGGAGAUCAAAGGCACAAGAUGAUGAUGGCCAUAUCAUGUCACAUAUUUUGAUUGCAUGUGAUGUUUAUAUUUUAUGCAUCUUAUUUUGCUUAGUACGUCUGUAGCAUUAUAAGAUGAUCCCUCACUAAAAUUUCAAGGUAUAAGUGUUCUCCCUGAAUGCACCAUUGUGACAGUUCGUCAUGCCGAGACACCACAUGAUGAUCGGGUGUGAUAAGCUCUACGUUCACAUACAACGGGUGCAAGACAGUUUUGCACGUGCGGAAUACUCAAGUUAAACUUGACGAGCCUAGCAUGUACAGACAUGGCCUCGGAACACUGAGACCGAAAGGUCAAACGUGAAUCAUAUAGUAGAUAUGAUCAACAUAGAGAUGUUCACCAUUGAAAACUACUCCGUCUCACGUGAUGAUCGGACAUGGUUUAGUUGAUAUGGAUCACGUGAUCAUUUAGAUGACUCGAGGAAUGUCUAUCUAAGUGGGAGUUCUUAAGUAAUAUGAUUAAUUGAACUUAAUUUAUCAUGGACUUAGUCCUGAUAGUAUUUGCAUAUCUAUGUUGUAGAUCAAUAGCUUGCGAUAUAUCUCCUCGUCUAUUUUUGAUAUGUUCCUAGAGAAAAAUAAGUUGAAAUAUGAUAGUAGCAAUGAUGUAGAUUGGGUCCGUGAUUUGAGGAUUAUCCUCAUUGCUGCACAGAAGAAUUAUGUCCUUGAUGCACCGCUAGGUGACGGACCUAUUGCAGGAGCAGAUGCAGAUGUUAUGAACAUUUGGCAAGCUCAGUAUGAUGACUACUUGAUAGUUUAGUGCGCCAUGCUUUACGGCUUAGAACCGGGACCUCAAAAACGUUUUGAAUGCCAUGGAGCAUAUAAGAUGUUCCAAGAGCUGAAAUUGGUAUUUCAGACUUAUGCUCGAGUCGAGAGGUAUGAGACCUUUGACAAGUACUUUGCCUACAAGAUGGAGGAGAAUAGCUCAACCAGUGAGCAUGUGCUCAGAAUGUCUGAGUACUACAAUCGCUUGAAUCAAAUGAGAGUUAAUCUUUCAGAUAAGAUAGUGAUUGACAGAGUUCACUAGUCACUAUCACCAAGUUACAAGAACUUCAUGAUGAACUAUAAUAUGCAAGGGAUGACAAAAACGAUUCCCGAGCUCUUCGCGAUGCUAAAAUCGGCGAGGGUAGAAAUAAAGAAAAAGCAUCAAGUGUUGAUGGUUAACAAGACCACUAGUUUCAAGAAAAGGGAUAAAGGAAAAAAUGGAACUUCAAGAAAGAAUGGCAAGCAAGUUGCCACUCCUGUGAAGAAUCUCAAAGCUAGACCUAAGCCUGAAAUUGAGUGCUUCUACUGCAAAGGGAAUGGUCACUAGAAGCAGAACUACCCCAAAUACUUGGCAGAUAAGAAGGAUGGCAAAGUGAACAAAGGUAUAUUUGAUAUACAUGUUAUUGAUGUGUACUUUACUAGUGUUCAUAGUAACCCCAGGGUAUUUGAUACUAGUUCAGUUGCUAAGAUUAGUAACUCGAAACAGGAAUUGCAAAAUGAACAGAAACUAGUUAAGGGCAAGGUGACGAUGCGUGUUGGAAGUGAUUCCAAGGUUGAUAAGAUCACCAUCGCACACUCCCUCUACCUUCGAUAUUAGUGUUGGACCAAAAUAAAUGUUAUUUGGUGUUUGCGUUGAGCAUGAAUACAAUUGGAUCAUGUUUAUUGCGAUACGGUUAUUCAUUUAUGUCAGAGAAUACUUGUUGUUCUAUUUACAUGAAUAAAACCUUCUAUGGUCAUACACCCAACGUAAAUGGUUUAUUAAAUCCCGAUCGUAGUGAUACACAUAUUCAUAAUAUUGAUGCCAAAAGAUGCAGAGUUGAUAAUGAUAGUGCAACAUAUUUGUGGCACUGCCAUUUAGGUCAUAUUGGUGUAAAGCGCGUGAAGAAACUCCAUAUGGAUGGAUUUUUGGAAUCACUUGAUUAUGAAUCAUUUGAUACUUGCGAGCCAUGCCUCAUCGGCAAGAUGACUAAAACUCCGUUCCCCAGAACAAUGGAGCGAGCCAUUGACUUAUUGGAAAUAAUACAUACCGAUGUAUGCGGUCCGAUGAGUGUUGAGCCUCACGGCGGGUAUCGUUAUUUUCUGACCUUCACAGAUGAUUUGAGCAGAUAUGGCUAUAUCUACUUGAUGAAACACAAGUAUGAAACAUUUGAAAAGUUCAAAGAAUUUCAGAGUGAAGUGGAGAAUCAUCGUAAUAAGAAAAUAAAGUUUCUACGAUCUGAUCACGGAGGCGAAUAUUUGAUUUAUGAGUUUGGCCUUCAUUUAAAACAAUGUGGAAUAGUUUCACAACUCACGCCACCUGGAACACCACAGCAUAAUGGUGUGUCCGAACGUCGUAACCGUACUUUAUUAGAUAUGGUGCGAUCUAUGAUGUCUCUUACCGAUUUACCACUAUCGUUUUGGGGUUAUGCAUUAGAGACAGCUGCAUUCACGUUAAAUAGGGCACCGUCUAAAUCCAUUGAGACGACAUCGUAUGAACUGUGAUUUAGCAAGAAACCUAAGCUAUCGUUUCUUAAAGUUUGGGGUUGUGAUGCUUAUGUGAAAAAGCUUCAGCCUAAUAAGCUCGAACCCAAAUCGGAGAAGUGCGUCUUCAUAGGAUACCCAAAAGAAACUAUUGGGUACACCUUCUAUCACUAGUCUGAAGGCAAGAUCUUUGUUUCUAAGAAUGGAUCCUUUCUAGAGAAGGAGUUUCUCUCGAAAGAAGUGAGUGGGAGGAAAGUAGAACUUGAUGAGGUAAUUGUACCUUCUCUAAAAUUGGAAAGUAGCUCAUCACAGAAAACCGUUCCCGUGAUGCAUGCACCAACUAGUGAGGAAGCUAGUGAUAAUGAUCAUGAAACUUCGGAUCAAGUUACUACCGAACCUCGUAGGUCAACCAAAGCAUGUUCCGUACCAGAGUGGUACGGUAAUCCUGUUCUGGAAGUCAUGUUACUAGACCAUGACGAACCUACGAACUAUGAGGAAGCGGUGAUGAGCCCAGAUUCCGAUAAAUGGCUUGAGGCCAUGAAAUCUGAGAUAGGAUCCAUGUAUGAGAACAAAGUAUGGACUUUGAUUGACUUGCCCGAUGAUCGGCGAGCCAUUGAGAAUAAAUGGAUCUUCAAGAGGAAGACGGACGCUAAUAGUAGUGUUACUAUCUACAAAGCUCGAAUUGUCGCAAAAAGGUUUUCGACAAGUUCAAGGUGUUGACUACGAUGAGAUUUUCUCACUCGUAUUGAUACUUAAAGUCUGUCCGAAUCAUGUUAGCAAUUGCCGCAUUUUAUGAAAUCUGGCAAAUGGAUGUCAAAACUGCAUUCCUUAAUGGAUUUAUUAAAGAAGAGUUGUAUAUGAUGCAACCUGAAGGUUUUCUAUUUCCUAAAGGUGCUAACAAAGUGUGCAAGCUCCAGCGAUCCAUCUAUGGACUGGUGCAAGCAUCUCGGAGUUGGAAUAUACGCUUUGAUGAGUUGAUCAAAGCAUAUAGUUUUAUACAGACUUGCGGUGAAGCCUGUAUUUACAAGAAAGUGAGUGGGAGCACUACAACCUUUCUGAUAAAUAUAUGUGAAUGACAUAUUGUUGAUAGGAAAUGAUGUAGAAUUUUUUGGAAAGCAUAAAGGAGUGUUUGAAAGGAUUUUUUCAAAGAAAUACCUCGGUGAAGCUACUUACAUAUUGGGCAUCAAGAUCUAUAAAGAUAUAUCAAGAUGCUUGAUAAGACUUUUGAUGAGUACAUACCUUGAUAAAAUUUUGAAGGAGUUCAAAAUGGAUCAGUCAAAAAAGGAGUUCUUGCCUGAGUUGUAAGGUAUGAAGUUGAGUAAGACCCAAAACCCGACCACGGCAGAAGAUAGAGAGAGAAUGGAAGUCAUUCCCUAUGCCUCAGCCAUAGGUUCUAUAAACUAUGCUAUGUUGUGUACCAGACCUAUUGUGUACCUUGCCAUGAGUUUUGCAAGGGGGUACGAUAGUGAUCCAGGAUUGGAUCACUCGACAGCGGUCAAAGUUAUCCUUAGUUACCUAAGAAGACUAAGGAAAUAUUUCUCGGUUAUGGAGGUAAUAAAGAGUUCAUCGUAAAGAGUUAUGAUACGUCUCCAACGUAUCUAUAAUUUUUUAUUGUUCCAUGCUAUUAUAUUAUCCAUCUAGGAUGUUUUAUAUGCUAUUUUAUAUAAUUUUUGGGACUAGCCUAUUAACCUAGAGCCCAGUGCCAGUUUCUGUUUUUUCCUUGUUUUUGAGUAUCGCAGAAAAGGAAAACCAAACGGAGUCCAAUUGACCUGAAAUUUCACGGAGAUUAUUUUUGGACCAGAAGAAGCCCACGGAGUAUCGGAGAUGGGCCAGAAGAGUCCCGAGGCACCCACGAGGGUGGGGGCGCGCCCUACCCCCUGGGAGCGCCCCCCUACCUCGUGGCCGCCUCGGAGACCCCCCUGACUUGUUCCCGACGCCAAAAAUCCCUAUAAAUAUAGAAACCCCCUAAAAGAAACCUAGAUCGGGAGUUCCGCCGCCGCAAGCCUCUGUAGCCACCAAAAACCAAUCGGGACCCUAUUCCGGCACCCUGCCGGAGGGGAAUCCCUCACCGGUGGCCAUCUUCAUCAUCCCGACGCUCUCCAUGACGAGGAGGGAGUAGUUCACCCUCGGGGCUAAGGGUAUGUACCAGUAGCUAUGUGUUUGAUCUCUCUCUCUCUCCCGUGUUCUUGAUUUGGCACGAUCUUGAUGUAUCGCGAGCUUUGCUAUUAUAGUUGGAUCUUAUGAUGUUUCUCCCCCUCUACUCUCUUGUAAUGGAUUGAGUUUUCCCUUUGAAGUUAUCUUAUCAGAUUGAGUCUUUAAGGAUUUGAGAACACUUGAUGUAUGUCUUGCGUGGGAUACCCGUGGUGACAAUGGGGUAUUAUAUUGAUUCACUUGAUGUAUGUUUUGGUGAUCAACUUGCGGGGUCCGCGACCUUGGGAAUCUAUGCAUAGGGGUUGGCACACGUUUUCGUCUUGACUCUCCGGUAGAAACUUUGGGGCAAUCUUUGAAGUUCUUUGUGUUGGUUGAAUAGAUGAAUCUGAGAUUGUGUGAUGCAUAUCGUAUAAUCAUACCCACGGAUACUUGAGGUGACAUUGGAGUAUCUAGGUGACAUUAGGGUUUUGGUUGAUUUGUGUCUUAAGGUGUUAUUCUAGUACGAACUCUAGGAUAGAUCGAAAGGAAAGAAUAGCUUCAUGUUAUUUUACUAAGGACUCUUGAAUAGAUCGAUCAGAAAGGAUAACUUUGAGGUGGUUUCGUACCCUACCACAAUCUCUUUGUUUGGUCUCCGCUAUUAGUGACUUUGGAGUGACUCUUUGUUGCAUGUUGAGGGAUAGUUAUAUGAUCCAAUAAUGUUAUUAUUGUUGAGAGAACUUGCACUAGUGAAAGUAUGAACCCUAGGCCUUGUUUCCUAGCAUUGCAAUACCGUUUGUGCUCACUUUUAUCAUUAGUUACCUUGCUGUUUUUAUAUUUUCAGAUUACAAAAACCUAUAUCUAACAUCCAUAUUGCACUUGUAUCACCAUCUCUUCGCCGAACUAGUGCACCUAUACAAUUUACCAUUGUAUUGGGUGUGUUGGGGACACAAGAGACUCUUUGUUAUUUGGUUGCAGGGUUAUUUGAGAGAGACCAUCUUCAUCCUACGCCUCCCACAGAUUGAUAAACCUUAGGUCAUCCACUUGAGGGAAAUUUGCUACUGUCCUACAAACCUCUGCACUUGGAGGCCCAACAACUUCUACAAGAAGAAGGUUGAGUAGUAGACAUCAAGCUCUUUUCUGGCGCCAUUGCCAGGGAGGUGAGUGCUUGAAGGUAUAUCUUUAGAUCUUGCAAUCGAAUAUUUUUGUUUCUUGUUUUAUCACUAGUUUAAUUUAUAAAAGAAAAUUACAGAAAAAUGGAAUUAAGGUUGCCUCAUAUGCUUCAUCUUUUUAAUGUCUUUCGUGAAAAUGAUGGGAAGGAAAAUUGUGCUCAAGUACUAUAAGAAAAAUUACAUAGAAUGCUUGGCAUAAAAUAUGUGAAUGAUGAGCAUGAUUGCAAUGUUGUUAGUAUGAAUUGUUUGAAUACCCAUGAUGCUACUGAUAUGCAAAGCCACAAGCUUGGGGAUGCUAUGUUUGAUGAAGAUGAUAUGUUUAGUCCCCCAAGUUUUGAUGAGAAUAUUUAUUAUGAUGAAAGCAUGCCUCCUAUUUAUGAUGAUUAUAUUGAUGGAAGUGGGUUUGGAAGAGUGUAAAAUUUAGGAAGUAAUGAUCCCACUAUUUUGGAGGAUGUUGAAUAUUAUUGUGAUAAUUAUGAAAGUGGAUUUGGAGAGGUCAUGACUUUAUUUAGUGAUGAAUCCACUAUUUCGAAAGAGGUUCCAAUUGAUUAUGAGAACAAAGUUGCUACCUAUGACGAUUAUUGUGAUGACUUGUAUACUAUUAAGAAUAAUGAUAACCAUGAAACUUGUCAUCAUUAUUUUAGUUUUCAAUUGGAUUAUGCCUCACAUGAUAAUUAUUUUGUUGAGUUUGCUCCCACUAUUAUUCAUGAGAAGAAAUUUGCUUAUGUGGAGAGUAAUAAAAAUUAUAUGCUUGUAGAUCAUGAAAAGAAUGCUUUAUGUGAUGGUUAUAUUGUUGAAUUCAUUCAUGACGCUACUGAAAAUUAUUAUGAGGGAGGAAUAUAUGCUUGUAGGAAUUGCAAUAAUAUCAAGUUUCCUCUCUAUGUCCUUAAAAUCUUGAAGUUAUGCUUGUUUUGCCUUCCUAUGCUAGUUGAUUAUUGUUCCCAUAAGUUGUUUGCUCACAAAAUCCCUAUGCAUAGGAAGUGGGUUAUAUUUAAAUGUGCUAGUCAUAUUCUUCAUGAUGCUCUCUUUAUGUUUCAAUUCUUAUCUUUUAUGUGAGCAUCAUUGAAAUCAUCAUGCCUAGCUACGGGUGUUAAACGUUAGCGCUUGUUGGGAGGCAACCCAAUUUUAUUUUUGUUCUUUGCAUUUUGCUCCUGUUUAGUAAUAAAUAAUUCAUCUAGACUAUGUUUAUAUGUGGUUUUAUGUUUCAUUAGUGUUUGUGCCAAGUAGAACCUUUGGGAAGACUUGGGUUAAGUCUUUGCGAUCUUGCUGUAAAAAACAGAAACUUUUGCGCUCACGAGAUUAGCUACCAUUUUUUACUGAAGAGUGCUUUUAGGUUGAUUCUUUUUGCAGAUGAUUAAUAGACAAAUUCCUCAGGUCCACCAAUUUAUUUCAGAAUUUUUGGAGUUACAGAAGUAUUCGAAUGAUACAGAUUACUACAGACUGUUCUGUUUUUGACAGAUUCUGUUUUCUAUGUGUUGUUUGCUUAUUUUGAUGAAUCUGUGAGUAGUAUCGGAGGGUAUGAACCAUAUAGAAGUUGGAAUACAGUAGAUAUUACACCAGUAUGAAUUUAGAAUUAGUUCACAACAGUACCUAAGUGAUGAUUUAUUUUCUUAUAUUAACGGAGCUUACGAGUUUUCUGUUGAGUUUUGUGUUGUGAAGUUUUCAAGUUUUGGGUAAAGAUUCGAUGGACUAUGGAAUAAGGAGUGGAAAGAGCCUAAGCUUGGGGAUGCCCAAGGCACCCCAAGGUAAUAUUCAAGGACAACCAAGAGCCUAAGCUUGGGGAUGCCCCGGAAGGCAUCCCCUCUUUCGUCUUCGUCUAUCGGUAACUUUACUUGGAGCUAUAUUUUUAUUCACCACAUGAUAUGCAUUUUUCUUGGAGCAUCAUUUUAUUUUGUUUUGUUUUGCUUGCUGUUUGAUAAAUACCAAGAUCUGAAAUUCUUAAAUGUUAGAGAGUCUUCACAUAGUUACAUAAUUAUUCAACUACUCAUUGAUCUUCACUUAUAUCUUUUGGACUAGUUUGUCAUUUGCUCUAGUGCUUCACUUAUAUCUUCUUAGAGCAUGGUGGUAGUUUUAUUUUGAAGAAAGUGUUGAUCUCUCAUGCUUCACUUAUAUUAUUUUGAGAGUCUUUAGAACAGCAUGGUAAUUUGGUUUGGUUAUGAAUUUAGUCCUAAUAUGAUGGGCAUCUAAGAGGGAUAUAAUAAAAACUUUCAUAUAAAGUGCAUUGAAUACUAUGAGAAGUUUGAUUCCUUAUGAUUGUUUUGAGAUAUGAGGAUGGUAAAUAUUAGAGUCAUGCUAGUUAAGUAGUUGUGAAUUUGAGAAAUCUUUGUGUUGAGGUUUGCAAGUCCCGUAGCAUGCACGUAUGGUAACCGUUGUGUAACAAAUUUGAAGCAUGAAGUGUUUCGUUGAUUGCCUUCCUUAUGAGUGGAGGUUGGGGACGAGCGAUGGUCUUUUCCUACCAAUCUAUACCCCUAGGAGCAUGAAUGUAAUGCUUGGUUUCUAUGACUUGUAGAUUUUUGCAAUAAGUAUGUGAGUUCUUUAUGACUAAUGUUGAGUCCAUGGAUUAUACGCACUCUCACCCUUCCAUCAUUGCUAGCCUCUUCGGUACCGUGCAUUGCCCUUUCUCACCUCGAGAGUUGGUGCAAACUUCGCCGGUGCAUCCAAAUCCCGUGAUAUGAUACGCUCUAGCACACAUAAGCCUCCUUAUACCUUCCUCAAAACAGCCACCAUACCUACCUAUUAUGGCAUUUCCAUAGCCAUUCCGAGAUAUAUUGCCAUGCAACUUUCCACCGUUCCGUUUAUUAUUACACGCUUCAUCAUUGUCAUAUUGCCUUGCAUGAUCAUGUAGUUGACAUCGUAUUUAUGGCAAGGCCACCAUGCAUAAUUUUUCAGAUUCAUUCCCGGUACACCGCCGGAGGCACUCAUAUAGAGUCAUAUUUUGUUCUAGUAUCGAGUUGUGACGCCCCCGAUUUGACCGUACACUAAUCAUACACGCAAACGUGUACGAUCAAGAUCAGGGACUCACGGGAAGAUAUCACAACACAACUCUAAAAAUAAAAUAAGUCAUACAAGCAUCAUAAUACAAGCCAGGGGCCUCGAGGGCUCGAAUACAAGUGCUUGAUCAUAGGCGAGUCAGCGGAAGCAACAAUAUCUGAGUACAGACAUAAGUUAAACAAGUUGCCAUAAGAUGGUUAGCACAAACUGGUAUACAGAUCGAAAGAGGCGCAUGCCUCCUGCCUGGGACCCUCCUAAACUACUCCUGGUCAUCAUCAGCGGCCUGCACGUAGUAGUAGGCACCUCCGGUGUAGUAGGAGUCAUCGUCGAUGGUGGCGUCUGGCUCCUGGGCUCCAGCAUCUGGUUGCGACAACCAGGUAGAAUGAAAAGGGGGAAAAGAGGGAGAAAAGCAACCGUGAGUACUCAUCCAAAGUACUCGCAAGCAAGGAGCUACACUACAUAUGCAUGGGUAUAUGUGUAAAGGGCCAUAUCGGUGGACUGAACUGCAGAAUGCCAGAAUAAGAGGGGAUAGCUAAUCUUGUCGAAGACUACGCUUCAGGCCACCUCCAUCUUGUAGCAUGUAGAAGAGAGUAGAUGGUAAGUUCACCAAGUAGCAUCGCAUAGCGUAAACCUACCCGGUGAUCCCCUCCUCGUCGCCCUGUUAGAGAGCGAUCACCGGGUUAUAUCUGGCACUUGGAAGGGUGUGUUUUAUUAAGUAUCCGGUUCUAGUUGUCAUAAGGUCAAGGUACAACUCCAAGUCGUCCUGUUACCGAAGAUCACGGCUAUUCGAAUAGAUAAACUUCCCUGCAGGGGUGCACCACAUAACCCAACACGCUCGAUCCCAUUUGGCUGGACACACUUUCCUGGGUCAUGCCCGGCCUCGGAAGAUCAACACGUCGCAGCCCUACCUAGGCACAACAGAGAGGUCAGCACGCCGUUCUAAAUCCUAUGGCGCAGGGGUCUGGGCCCAUCGCCCAUUGCACACCUGCACGUUGCGUACGCGGCCGGAAGCAGACCUAGCCCCCUUAAUACAAGCACGAGCUUACGGUCCAAUGCGGCACGCGCCGCUCAGUCGCUGACGUCACGAAGGCUUUGGCUGAUACCACGACGUCGAGUGCCCAUAACUUUCCCACGUAGUUGGUUAGUGCGUAUAGGCCAGUGGCCAGACUCAGAUCAAAUACCAAGAUCUCGUUAAGCGUGUUAAGUAUCUGCGAAUGCCGACCAGGGCCAGGCCCACCUCUCUCCUAGGUGGUCUCAACCUGCCCUGUCGCUCCGCCAUAAAGUAACAGUCGGGGGCCAUCGGGAACCCAGGCCCACCUCUACCGGGAUGGAGCCACCUGCCCCUUCAGCCCCCAUCUCCAAACAGUAUCAUAAGUAAUGUAACAGUAUAAAGUAUAUAUCAUAUGCCCGUGAUCACCUCCCGAAGAGAUCACGGCCCAGUAGUAUAGCAUGGUAGACGGACAAGAGUGUAGGGCCACUGAUGGAACACUAGCAUCUUAUACUAAGCAGUAGGAUAGCAGGUAAGGGUAACAACUGUAGCAACAAUGACAGGCUAUGCAGCAGAAUAGGAUUAACCGAAAGCAGUAACAUGCUACACUACUCUAAUGCAAGCAGUAGAGAGAAGGAAUAGGCAAUAUCUGGUGACCAAGGGGGGGCUUGCCUGGUUGCUCAGACAAGAAGGAGGGGUCAUCGGUGACGUAGUCGACCACAGGGGCAUCAACAUCGUCACGGGGUCUACCGAAGAGAAGAGGGGGAGAAACAGUAAAUACAUAGCAAGCAAGUGCAUAACGGAACAACAGGCAGAGCUAGACGUGUUCUAACGCGGUAUGAGGUGAUACCGGUGAAGGGGGGAAACAUCCGGGAAAAUAUCCCCAGUGUUUCGCGUUUUCGGACAGAUGAAUCGGAGGGGAAAAGUUGCGUGUUCGCUAUGCUAGGGAUGCGUGGCGGACGAACGGGCUGCGUAACCGGAUUCGUCUCGUCGUUCUGAGCAACUUUCGUGUACAAAGUUUUUCAUCCGAGCUACGGUUUAUUUUAUAUUGAUUUUAAAAGAUUUAAAUCAUUUUUAGCAUUUAUUUAAUUAUUUUAAUCCAACAUUAUCCAGAACAGUGCACGCUGACGUCGACGUCAGCAGUCAACAGAGGCGUUGACUGGUCAACUGACGUGUGGGUCCCGUUCGUCAUUAACUGUUUAGUCCAAUUAGGGUUUAACUAAUCUAAUUAUUGUUUAAUUAAACUAACUAGUUAAUUAGAUUAAUUAAAUAGGAUUAAUUAACUUAAUUAAUUAAUUAAUUGUUUUAAUUAUUAUUUUUUAUUUUUUAUUCAUUUUUUUAAUGUUCCAGGGGCUGGGCCCCACUUGCCAUUGGCCCUGGGGGGCCAUAGCGGUUUUGGGCGCGGGUGCGGGCACGCGCCCGUCAGGGCGACCCCGUGUGAGCGGGCGACGGUUACGGGCAUGCGGGUGCGCGCCCGAGUCUACCCGGGAAGGGGACUCCGGCCAGGGUGGGGGCGCGACCGCGGCGGCGGGCGCCGGCUAUGGCGGAACGGCGCGGGGCCGGCGGGGCGAAGGAGGCGUGCGGCGGCACGCACGAGCUGCAGCGGUGGAGGUGGNNNNNNNNNNNNNNNNNNNNNNNNNNNNNNNNNNNNNNNNNNNNNNNNNNNNNNNNNNNNNNNNNNNNNNNNNNNNNNNNNNNNNNNNNNNNNNNNNNNNNNNNNNNNNNNNNNNNNNNNNNNNNNNNNNNNNNNNNNNNNNNNNNNNNNNNNNNNNNNNNNNNNNNNNNNNNNNNNNNNNNNNNNNNNNNNNNNNNNNNNNNNNNNNNNNNNNNNNNNNNNNNNNNNNNNNNNNNNNNNNNNNNNNNNNNNNNNNNNNNNNNNNNNNNNNNNNNNNNNNNNNNNNNNNNNNNNNNNNNNNNNNNNNNNNNNNNNNNNNNNNNNNNNNNNNNNNNNNNNNNNNNNNNNNNNNNNNNNNNNNNNNNNNNNNNNNNNNNNNNNNNNNNNNNNNNNNNNNNNNNNNNNNNNNNNNNAAGGCGCUGGCGGGAUGGGCGCUGGUAGCGCGCGGGCAGAGCGGCGCGGGCAGCGUGCGGCCAGGCCGAGCAGGAGGGGGACGGCGGAGCUGAGGCAACCAGGCGGCAGCACAGGCCAUGGCGGGGCAGGGAGGGGCAGAGCCGGAGCAGGGGUUCACGGGCGCGCGGGCCGACGAGGUGACAGCAGCGUCAACGAGUCGGAACAACGCGCGCGGGCGAGCAGCGGGGCCGCGAGCGGGGCGCCGGUCCAGGCUCGGCGCGGGGAGGAGGGGAGAAGUGGCCGGGGGCCUCACCAACGGUCGUGGGGUCAAGGCAGCGGGCUCGGGGAGGAGGACGACGAAUGGGCGACGUCCGGGUCGCUGGCGAGGCGACGGGGUCGAGGGCGCGGCGCAGGAAUGGCAGCCUCGGCACGGGACGAGUAGGAGGCCGAGGCACAGGGGGCGAUGGCGGCGUCGGCGGAGACGUCAGGCAGUGGUGGUCGGCGACGGGGAGGGUGGCGGCGGCCGGGGAGUGACGGCGUUGGGGGCGGCGGUGACCGGGCGUUGGCCCGAUCUCGAUCCCGUUCGGGAUGGGGAAAAGGGGAUCGUGGGGAGUGGGGGGCGAGUGGUGGAGUAGUGGGCUAGGGUUACCGUGGUGGGGGCUAAUAGGCAGGGGUGGGGUGGCUGGUUGGGCCUUUGCCCAGUUGGGCCAGCCCGCUGGGCCAUCUGGCCCAGUGAGGGGGGUCCUUUUCCUCUCUUCGGUUUCUUUUACUUUUUAUUUAUUUUUCUAAUUUUGUUUUCUUUUAGUUUCCAUUUAUCUUAGUUUUAGUAAAAUACCAAAGUGGCACCUAAGUAGAUGCUACAAAUUAUGCCACUGCCACAAUAGUUUAAUACUUAUAACAAUUUAGUUUUGAAAUUGUUUAUUAUUUUAAAAGCGUUUAAAUAAUUGUACUUGCUACCGUUUUAUUCAUUUUAUAGUAUUUAAACAUUUUAUAAAAGUGUGGUUUCUUCACCAGUAUUAUCCAUGAUUUAUUUGUCACAUUGAGAACAUUUUAGUUUUGACUUUUGAAAACUUUAAUUGUUUGACUUGAAUUCAAAUUCGAGUUUGAAUUGGUUUUGAACUAACGCGAGAUUAACAAUAGUAACCGUGGUGACAUGGCAUCAUUAACAUGUGAUUACUAUAGCCUAAUUAUCCGGGCGUCACAAUUCUCCUCCACUACAAGAAAUCUCGUCCCGAGAUUUAAGAGGUAGUGAAAGGGGGAAAGGUUUUGGUUACGAAUCUAGCGGGUCUUCUCAUCCCGGCUUGCUCUUCGUGAAGAAGUUGAUCCCUGUCGUUGAUGUCUUCAUUUUCCUACUUCAGGUCAUCUUGACGAAGUCGCAUCCUUUCUUCGGGGUCUGUCUCGUACUUACGAAUAGGUAAGGGGCAGUUUGACAAUGAUAGAAUGCUGUAAGGGUUAACCAUUGGGGGUCAUCCCAUGAAUGAACAUAGGGGUAUCUCUCGAGUUGGUCAAAUGAAACACAUCGAGAGCCAAGCAAGAAGGUAUAGUAAGAAGUAUCAAGCGGAAAGGCGAUCGUUCGGUGCCCAAUUAGAAGGUGAAAGGGUUUCAAGGCAUAAGAAUAAGUGCGUCUGAUACCAGAAUUGAUGAUCUCUCCGACGGUGGCUCGUGAAUCCCAUACGAGGCCACACGCGAGGAAUAACUUUGGGAACAGGGGGUAUAGGAGAGUCAGGUUUCGAUCCUGUGGAACUAUGGGUUAUGGGCCCACCAUGUGGGUUAAAAGUAGGAAGUGUGGUGACGUCUUGCACGAUCAUGUAAGCAAGGCAUGUCAGAGGAUAGCCUAUCAAUUAUGUCGGCCACGUCGGUACCAAGGGCGAGGGACGAAGAGAACCAUUUUCCUGCUUGUUGAACGAGGCGGACCAAUAGGCAAAGUUCUCGUCCAUCGGUGGCUAGCAGAAUGUCAUCAACAAUAGUAACAGGGUCUUGCUGACAGAAUUGUACAACGAGGUGUUUACAUAAGCAGGAGAAUAUUACUGCUUAGAUCAUAUAGAUCACAAGAAAGGUUAAACCAAACAAUGGAAAGGAAAAUAUGAUUAUCAGAUUAAACAGAACAAUGGAAAGGAAAAUGUGUUAAAACACAUAUUUCAGGGGCAUUUCCUUCCCAAGGACAAACAGAGUAUGAUAUCCGUGACAGGAUAUAAUGUAGAAAACCCUCUAGGUAGGGGGAGAGAAAUUUUCAUGACAUUACCGAUACAACGGUGUUUGGAUAACUGAGCAAGAAACAAUUAGCAUUGGGAUAAGUGUUCUUGUUGAAAAUCGGAGUACCACAGACAUGCUUCGAGAUAGCAUUGACAUGGUCUUCAAGCAAAGGUCAUACUUGGAUACAAAAAGGAUUCAUCAAGAACAACAUAUAGAAUAAGUCUUACAAUUUCCUUAUGGAAGAAUGGGUAACAUUGCUGAAGAGGAUACUAUAACAAUAGGUCCUCCGGUCAAGUGUGCUAGGCAUGACAUCACCUUACCGGGUUAUAUAAAGACCAAUGUUAUAACUCCUGAAAAUAUGCUCCAACCAUCAUAUCUGACCGAGAUUCAGAUUUGAUCGGUGUUAGGAUACCUCAGACUCAGCAUGCCUGAGAAGAAAAGGUGCAAAACAAAUUGAUGAGACGACAUUGUAAGAUUCUCGGGAAAUGAACGAUGGAAGCAAGUUCCGAAACCAGAGUUCAGCAUUAAACCAAGGAGAGGAUGAGGAGUUGGCUGAUGAACUCAGCGACAAUUCAAUGAGAUUUCCAAAAGAUGGAUUUCCACAAUUAUGUGAACAAGGAGAUAACAUUAGUCAGAUCAAAUGAUAUAAUGAUGUAUGCUCGAGGAAAACAUCCACAAUUAAACAUUGGUUGACAGGUGCACCCGAAAUAUGGCUGGGUCGCAUGAACAAUGUUAGAAUGGUGACUUAAUGAACAAAAGAAUUAGAAUGAAACUAUCAAUCAUUCACUUCAAAGCAUUAGGGUUGCUAGAAGUUUUGAAUUCACACCUCAAGUUCAAUUGUCGGUAUUCCGAUUCGAAUCAACACGGGGACCAAGAAAUGAACGGAGAUGGCGAGAAGUAAUACUAUAACAAGAAUCCUUAAGAGGUGGGGCAUUCCCAUGACAUUCUCGACAUAACAGAUGGUAAUACUCCAAGGUAGAACACAGCAUAAGCUGGAUGGCAAGGAACCCAAGGUGUAAUACAAAACACGAACAAGUUUGUGUUGGAGAGAAGGCAAGGAUGUUGUCGAUGGUAACUCAAAUUACCAAGGAACAAGGGUGGUACUUAUCAUCAUGAAUUCGAUUGGUAUCCUGGAAGGAUUCAAAAUGUUGAUGAUGACCACGACAAUUUUUGUCGAGAGAUUUCAUGAGGAUGUAAUCGAUCAGCGAUGACAUCAAGUCAAAGGGAUGAUGAAGCAAGAGAUCAAUGGAAGCACAGGUACAACACAAACUUGAAAUCAAGCUUGCUGUUCAAGGUGAAAUUAUAUGACAAGGAAAUUCAACGUAAGCUUAGCUCAUUGUCGAAAAUUGUGCUCCGGGAAGGACCAGGUAGUACAGUUAAAAUUGGCACAAUAAUGAUGUAGCCGAUCAGGCUAGGAAUGAGUUGAAAGAUUAUUAAAUCAUAAGCAACGAAACUUACUUAGAGUUAUUGAAUCGGAGUGCGGUAUCGAUUCACUUAACGGUGUUCUCGAGUGACUAAUAACUAAGAACCCGAGGGAAAUUGGAAUUGGCGAGAAUAAUAGUUGAUGAAGAACUCAUAAGAAGUUAUGUAGUUCCAUGGUAUUCUUAAGAUACCAGAGUGUAAUGCUCGACGGUAGAUCAAAGGGUUGGACAGGUGCAAUGAUCUGCAGAAGACAAGUACUUCAACUUGUCCGAGAAAUGGUAUUUAAAAGGAGAACAUGGCCGGAACAACGGUUGCAAAAUGCUAGAUCCCAGAUAUAAGAUAAACUUAUACCAAGGAAAUAUUUAUUUGAAGAGAAGCUUUAAUGAUACGAUCUACAUUGUUUCCAUGGGCAUGAACACAAAGUUCAAGGUCGACUCCCACUUCUCCAAUGCGAGACCAUUCAUUCACUGCUCUAAUAAAAAUGAUUUCAGUGUGAAAACCUACCGGGUGAAUUACUAGAGGAGUAUGACCCGUGAAAAGUUUUUGGGUCAAACAGAUUAAGGAAGGCAUAAGGUUCAACCCAUCGGGAUAUCUUAGUAACAUAUACCACAAGUUCCAAGAGUAAAUAUCACCAGCUCGAAAGCAGAGCAUGGUUGGCCAAAUCAGAGAAUAGGAUUUACUAAUGGCAUUAUGUAUCAGGGAAGAAUUCACAAGGCGAUUAAAUAUGAAGGACAUUGCCGAAUAAUAAUCCAACAAAGGAUUUGACGGUCGAUAGCGGAGCUGAUGUGAGCAUCGGCACACAACCAGUUGAAGAAAGAAUGCAAGGGCAUCAUAUUAUAGAACAUCUGAAUGAUUCGAUGCUUAGAUAUCAAAGGAAUUAUGAUUUCCAAAUCGAAGGAUUAGAAGAGGACGCUCUGAUCAAAGGGUGGAUAAGUUCAAUAGACCUAAGGGUACAAUUGACGGCAAAUAGAUUGGUCGAGAACAAGCUCAUGUUUAAAAUGACGUCUGAGCCAAAAAGAUAAUUUAAAAGGAUCAACUGAUGAUUGCGUGCAUUCGCACUCAGGUUGAAUCAAUAGGAUCAAAAUGAUGGUGCCUAAGGAUACUAACGAAUAUUGCCAGACAUAUAGAAAGCAUCCAUAAUGCAAGCAGAUAAAGAAGAUCAAGAGCAAUAGGCUACUGAGGAUUUCGGAAGACCGAAUGGCAUUUCAAAGAAUUUUGCGGAACACCUGAACAACUGGGGAUGAACGAAUCCCCAAUAAGGGUGAGGAAUUAUUCAUACAUGUAUUCAUGAGGAAAAGGAGCUGCAAGGCAGUAAGCACAAAGGAUUCUCGGAACAGCGGGAAGUAGUUCAAGGUAUCUUGUACUAACAAGAGUAAUCGAGAAUGAAGGUAUGGAUGGCAAGUAUAAGUAGCUAUCCAUAGGGAUGUCUCGGUGGUAGUGAAUUUACAAAGGCGGCGGGCACAAGUGUCCCGGUGCAGCAGGCGAUCAUCUGUAAUAAGGGGCUCUCCGGGUGGAAGUAGUUACGAGAACCUAAAGUCAGAGUAAGUAAAAUCGUUUAACCCGAAUAGAAGAGAUGUCAGAGUCCCAGAGUAUAGGUCGAGAAAUAAAAGAUCCUAAUACCACCCAAUGGCGACGUGGGCCCGUAAGCCGCACAACCAUGUUAGUAAAAACUUUUUCAAUGACUAGACUCAACUUCGGCCAAGGAGGUGAAAAGGGGGAUUCCUACAGGUAGUCGGCUCUGAUACCAACUUGUGACGCCCCCGAUUUGGCCGUACACUAAUCAUACACGCAAACGUGUACGAUCAAGAUCAGGGACUCAUGGGAAGAUAUCACAACACAACUCUAAAAAUAAAAUAAGUCAUACAAGCAUCAUAAUACAAGCCAGAGGCCUCGAGGGCUCGAAUACAAGUGCUCGAUCAUAGGCGAGUCAGCGGAAGCAACAAUAUCUGAGUACAGACAUAAGUUAAACAAGUUGCCAUAAGAUGGCUAGCACAAACUGGUAUACAGAUCGAAAGAGGCGCAAGCCUCCUGCCUGGGAUCCUCCUAAACUACUCCUGGUCGUCGUUAGCGGCCUGCACGUAGUAGUAGGCACCUCUGGUGUAGUAGGAGUCAUCGUCGACGGUGGCGUCUGGCUCCUGGGCUCCAGCAUCUGGUUGCGACAACCAUGUAGAAGGGAAAGGGGGGAAAAAGAGGGAGAAAAGUAACCGUGAGUACUCAUCCAAAGUACUCGCAAGCAAGGAGCUACACUACAUAUGCAUGGGUAUAUGUGUAAAGGGCCAUAUCGGUGGACUGAACUGCAGAAUGCCAGAAUAAGAGGGGGAUAGCUCAUCAUGUCGAAGACUACGCUUCAGGCCGCCUCCAUCUUGUAGCAUGUAGAAGAGAGUAGAUGGUAAGUUCACCAAGUAGCAUCGCAUAGCGUAAAAAUACCCGGUGAUCCCCUCCUCGCCGCCUUAUUAGAGAGCGAUCACCGGGUUAUAUCUAGCACUUGGAAGGGUGUGUUUUAUUAAGUAUCCGGUUCUAGUUGUCAUAAGGUCAAGGUACAACUCCAAGUCGUCCUGUUACCGAAGAUCACGGCUAUUCGAAUAGAUAAACUUCCCUGCAUGGGUGCACCACAUAACCCAACACGCUCGAUCCCAUUUGGCCGGACACACUUUCCUGGGUCAUGCCCGGCCUCGGAAGAUCAACACGUCGCAGCCCUACCUAGGCACAACAGAGAGGUCAGCACGCCAGUUUAAAUCCUAUGGCGCAGGGGUCUGGGCCCUUCGCCCAUUGCACACCUGCACGUUGCGUACGCGGCCGGAAGCAGACCUAGCCCCCUUAAUACAAGCGCGAGCUUACGGUCCAAUGCGGCGCGCGCCGCUCAGUCGCUGACGUCACGAAGGCUUCGGCUGAUACCACGACGUCGAGUGCCCAUAACUUUCCCGCGUAGUUGGUUAGUGCGUAUAGGCAAGUGGCCAGACUCAGAUCAAAUACCAAGAUCUCGUUAAGCGUGUUAAGUAUCCGCGAAUGCCGACCAGGGCCAGGCCCACCUCUCUCCUAGGUGGUCUCAACCUGCCCUGUCGCUCCGCCACAAAGUAACAGUCGGGGGCCGUCGGGAACCCAGGCCCACCUCUACCGGGAUGGAGCCACCUGCCCCUUCAGCCCCCAUCUCCAAACAGUAUCAUAAGUAAUGUAACAGUAUAAAGUAUAUAUCAUAUGCCCGUGAUCACCUCCCGAAGUGAUCACGGCCCAGUAGUAUAGCAUGGCAGACGGACAAGAGUGUAGGGCCACUGAUGGAACACUAGCAUCUUAUACUAAGCAGUAGGAUAGCAGGUAAGGGUAACAACUGUAGCAACAAUGACAGGCUAUGUAGCAGAAUAGGAUUAACCGAAAGCAGUAACAUGCUACACUACUCUAAUGCAAGCAGUAGAGAGAAGGAAUAGGCGAUAUCUGGUGAUCAAGGGGGGGCUUGCCUGGUUGCUCAGACAAGAAGGAGGGGUCGUCGGUGACGUAGUCGACCACAGGGGCAUCAGCAUCGUCACGGGGUCUACCGAAGAGAAGAGGGGGGAGCAGCAGUAAAUACAUAGCAAGCAAGCGCAUAACGGAAGAACAGGCAGAGCUAGACGUGUUCUAACGCGGUAUGAGGUGAUACCGGUGAAGGGGGGAAACAUCCGGGAAUAUCCCCGGUGUUUCGUGUUUUCGGACAGAUGAAUGAGAGGGGAAAAGUUGCGUGUUCGCUAUGCUAGGGAUGUGUGGCGGACGAACGGGUUGCGUAACCGGAUUCGUCUCGUUGUUCUGAGCAACUUUCAUGUACAAAGUUUUUCCAUCCGAGCUACGGUUUAUUUUAUAUUGACUUUAAAAGAUUUAAAUCAUUUUUAGCAUUUAUUUAAUUAUUUUAAUCCAACAUUAUCCAGAACAGUGCACGCUGACGUCAGCAUGACGUCAGCAGUCAACAGAGGCGUUGAAUGGUCAACUGACGUGUGGGUCCCGUUCGUCAUUGACUGUUUAGUCUAAUUAGGGUUUAACUAAUCUAAUUAUUGUUUAAUUAAACUAACUAGCUAAUUAAAUUAAUUAAAUAGGAUUAAUUAACUUAAUUAAUUAAUGAAUUAAUUAAUUUAAUUAUUUUUUAUAUUCAUUUUUUUAAUGUUCCACGGGCUGGGCCCCACUUGUCAUUGGCCCUGGGGGGCCAUAGCGGUUUUGGGUGCGGGUGCGGGCACGUGCCAGUCAGGGCGACCCCGGGUGAGCGGGCGACGGUUACGGGCGUGCGGGUGCGCGCCCGAGUCUACCCGGGAAGGGGACUCCGGCCAGGGUGGGGGCGCGACCGCGGCGGCGGGCGCCGGCUGUGGCGGAACGGCGCGGGGCCGGCGGGGCGAAGGAGGCGCGCNNNNNNNNNNNNNNNNNNNNNNNNNNNNNNNNNNNNNNNNNNNNNNNNNNNNNNNNNNNNNNNNNNNNNNNNNNNNNNNNNNNNNNNNNNNNNNNNNNNNNNNNNNNNNNNNNNNNNNNNNNNNNNNNNNNNNNNNNNNNNNNNNNNNNNNNNNNNNNNNNNNNNNNNNNNNNNNNNNNNNNNNNNNNNNNNNNNNNNNNNNNNNNNNNNNNNNNNNNNNNNNNNNNNNNNNNNNNNNNNNNNNNNNNNNNNNNNNNNNNNNNNNNNNNNNNNNNNNNNNNNNNNNNNNNNNNNNNNNNNNNNNNNNNNNNNNNNNNNNNNNNNNNNNNNNNNNNNNNNNNNNNNNNNNNNNNNNGGAGCUGAGGCAACGAGGUGGUAGCACAGGCCAUGGCGGGGCAGGGAGGGGCAGAGCCGGAGCGGGGGUUCACGGGCGCGCGGGCCGACGAGGUGACAGCAGCGUCGGCGAGUCGGAACAACGCGCGCGGGCGAGCAGCGGGGCCGCGAGCGGGGCGCCGGUCCAGGCUCGGCGCGGGGAGGAGGAGAGAAGUGGCCGGGGGCCUCACCGACGGUCGUGGGGUCAAGGCAGCGGGCUCGGGGAGGAGGACGACGAAGGGGCGACGUCCGGGUCGCCGGCGAGGCGACGGGGUCGAGGGCGCGGUGCAGGAAUGGCGGCCUCGGCACGAGACGAGGAGGAGGCCGAGGCACGCGAGGCGAUGGCGGCGUCGACGGAGACGUCAGGGAGCGGUGGUCGGCGACGGGGAGGGCAGCGGCGGCCGGGGAGUGACGGCGUUGGGGGCGGCGGCGACCGGGCGUUGGCCCGAUCUCGAUCCCGUUCAGGAUGGGGAAAAGGGGAUCGUGGGGAGUGGGGGUGCGAGUGGUGGAGUAGUGGGCUAGGGUUACCGUGGUGGGGGUAUAGGCAGGGGUGGGGGUGGCCAGUUGGGCCUUUGCCCAGUUGGGCCGGCCAGCUGGGCCAUCUGGCCCAGUGGGGGGGGGUCCUUUUCCUCUCUUCGGUUUCUUUUACUUUUUAUUUAGUUUUCUAAUUUUGUUUUCUUUUAGUUUCCAUUUAUCUUAGUUUUAGUAAAAUACCAAAGUGGCACCUAAGUAGAUGCUACAAAUUAUGCCACUACCACAAUAGUUUAAUACUUAUAACAAUUUAGUUUUGAAAUUGUUUGUUAUUUUAAAAGUGUUUAAAUAAUUGUACUUGCUACCGUUUUAUUCAUUUUAUAGUAUUUAAACAUUUUAUAAAAGUGUGGUUUCUUCACCAGUAUUAUUCAUGAUUUAUUUGUCACAUUGAGAGCAUUUUAGUUUUGACUUUUGAAAACUUUAAUUGUUUGACUUGAAUUCAAAUUCGAGUUUGAAUCGGUUUUGAACUAACGCGAGAUUAACAAUAGUAACCGUGGUGACAUGGCAUCAUUAACAUGUGAUUACUGUAGCCUAAUUAUUCGGGCGUCACAGUUCUAGUAUCGAGUUGUAACCCUUGAGUUGUAAAUAAAUAGAAGUGUGAUGAUCAUCAUUAUUAGAGCAUUGUCCCGUGUGAGAAAAAAAAGAGAAAGGCCAAAAAAAGAGAAAGGCCAAAUAAAAAAAAGGAAGGCCCAAAAAAUGAGAGAAAAAGAGAGAAGGGGCAAUGUUACUAUCCUUUUUCCACACUUGUGCUUCAAAGUAGCACCAUGAUCUUCAUGAUAGAGAGUUUCUUAUUUUGUCACUUCCAUAUACUAGUCGGAAUCUUUCAUUAUAGAACUUGGCUUGUAUAUUCCAACGAUGGGCUUCCUCAAAAUGCCCUAGGUCUUCGUGAGCAAGCAAGUUGGAUGCACACCCACUUAGUUUCUUUUGUUGAGCUUUCAUACAUUUAUAGCUCUAGUGCAUCCGUUCCAUGGCAAUCCCUACUCCUCGCAUUGACAUCAAUUGAUGGGUAUCUCCAUAACCCGUUGAUUGGCUGCGUCGAUGUGAGACUUUCUCCCUUUUUGUCUUCUCCACACAACCCCCAUCAUCAUACUCUAUUCCACCUAUAGUGCUAUGUCCUUGGCUCGCGCUCAUGUAUUGCGUGAAAGUUGAAAAAGUUUGAGAGUACUAAAGUAUGAAACAAUUGCUUGGCUUGUCAUCGGGGUUGUGCAUGAUGAGAGCAUUUUUGUGUGACGAAAAUGAAGCAUAGCCAAACUAUAUGAUUUUGUAGGGAUGAGCUUUCUUUGGCCAUGUUAUUUUGAGAAGACAUAAUUGCUUAGUUAGUAUGCCCGAAGUAUUAUGAUUUUUAUGUCAAUAUUAAACUUUUGUCUUGAAUCUUUUGGAUCUGAACAUUCAUGCCACAAUAAAGAAGAUUACAUUGAUAAAUUAUGUUAGGUAGCAUUCCACAUCAAAAAAUUUGUUUUUAUCAUUUACCUACUCGAGGACGAGCAGGAAUUAAGCUUGGGGAUGCUUGAUACGUCUCCAACGUAUCUAUAAUUUUUGAUUGUUCCAUGCUAUUAUAUUAUCCAUCUAGGAUGUUUUAUAUGCAUUUAUAUGCUAUUUUAUAUGAUUUUUGGGACUAACCUAUUAACCUAGAGCCCAAUGCAUGUUUCCUUGUUUUUGAGUAUCGCAGAAAAGGAAAACCAAACGGAGUCCAAUUGACCUAAAAUUUCACGGAGAUUAUUUCUGGACCAGAAGAAGCCCACGGAGUAUCGGAGAUGGGCCAGAAGAGUCCCGAGGCACCCAUGAGGGUGGGGCGCGCCCUACCCCCUGGGCGCGCCCCCUACCUUGUGGCCGCCUCGGAGACCCCCCUGACUUGUUCCCGACGCCAAAAAUCCCUAUAAAUAUAGAAACCCCCGAAAAGAAACCUAGAUCGGGAGUUCCGCCGCCGCAAGCCUCUGUAGCCACCAAAAACCAAUCGGGACCCUGUUCCGGCACCCUGCCGGAGGGGGGAUCCCUCACCAGUGGCCAUCUUCAUCAUCCCGACGCUCUCCAUGACGAGGAUGGAGUAGUUCACCCUCGGGGCUGAGGGUAUGUACUAGUAGCUAUGUGUUUGAUCUCUCUCUCUCUCUCGUGUUCUUGAUUUGGCACGAUCUUGAUGUAUGUUUGAAUAGAAUUGUAUUAACUGGAAACACAUAGCUAUUUUAUCAUGAUAAAUUUUUGUUAUUCAUGCUAGAAUUGUAUUAACCGGAAACUUGAUACAUGUGUGGAUACAUAGAAAAAACACAGUGUCCCUAGUAUGCCUCUACUAGACUAGCUCGUUAAUCAAAGAUGGUUAAGUUUCCUAACCAUAGACAUGUGUUGUCAUUUGAUGAACGGGAUCACAUCAUUAGGAGAAUGAUGUGAUGGACAAGACCCAUCCGUUAGCUUAGCAUAAUGAUCGUUAAGUUUUAUUGUUAUUGCUUUCUUCAUGACUUACACAUAUUCCUUUGACUAUGAGAUUAUGCAACUCCCGAAUACCGGAGGAAAUACCUUGUGUGCUACCAAACGUCACAACGUAACUGGGUGAUUAUAAAGAUGCUCUACAGGUAUCUCCGAAGGUGUUUGUUGGGUUGGCAUAGAUCAAGAUUGGGAUUUGUCACUCCGAGUAUCAGAGAGGUAUCUCUGGGCCCUCUAGGUAAUGCACAUCAUGAUAAGCCUUGCAAGCAAUGUGACUAAUGAGUUAGUUGCGGGAUGAUGCAUUACGGAACGAGUAAAGAGACUAGCUGGUAACAAGAUUGAAUUAGGUAUGAAGAUACCGACGAUCGAAUCUUGGGCAAGUAACAUACCGAUGACAAAAGGAAUUACAUAUGUUGUCAUUACGGUUUGACCGAUAAAGAUCUUCGUAGAAUAUGUAGGAACCAAUAUGAGCAUCCAGGUUCCGCUGUUGGUUAUUGUCCGGAGAGGUGUCUCGGUCAUGUCUACAUAGUUCUCGAACCCAUAGGGUCCGCACGCUUAACGUUCAAUGACGAUUUGUAUUAUAUGAGUUAUGUGAUUUGGUGACCGAAUAUUGUUUGGAGUCCCGGAUGAGAUCACGGACAUGAUGAGGAGUCUCGAAAUGGUCAAGAGGUAAAGAUUCAUAUAUAGGACAAUAGUAUUCGGACACCGGAAGUGUUCUGGGGGUGCCGGGUACGUAUCGGGUCACUGAAAGGGGUUCCGGGCAACCCCCAGCAAGCUAUAUGGGCCUAAUGGGCCAAGAGUUGGACAGACCAGCCCCAAAAGGGGCUGGUGCGCCCCCUAUAGGCCGAAUAGGAGGAGAAGGAAAGGAAGGGAAGGGAGAAGGAAAGGGGAGGAUUCGGCCUCCCCCUUUCCUUCCCCUCCCCCCUCUCUUUCCUUCCCCCUCCGAUGGAUAUGGAAGGGGGAGGCCGACUUGGAGGAGGCGCCCAAGUAGGAUUACUCCUACUUGGGGCGCCCCUUGCAGCCCCUAUCCCUCUCCCACCUGUAUAUAUGUGGGGGGGACCGCUAGAACACACAACAUUGAUUCCUAGCCGUGUGCGGCGCCCCCCUCCACAGUUUACGCCUCCUGUCAUAUUCACAUAGUGCUUAGGCGAAGCCCUGCGCGGAUCACUUCACCAUCACCGUCACCAUGCAGUCGUGCUGAUGGAACUCUCCCUCGACACUUUGCUGGACCAAGAGUUCGAGGGACGCCAUCGAGCUGAACAUGUGCAGAACUCGGAGGUGACGUACGUUCGGUGCUUGAUCGGUCGGAACGAGAAGAAGUUCGACUACAUCAACCACAUUGUCAAACGCUUCCGCUUUCGUUCUACGAGGGUACGUGGACACACUCUCCUCCUCUCGUUGCUAUGCAUCUCCUAGAUAGAUCUUGCGUGAUCGUAGGAAUUUUUUUGAAAUUGCAUGCUACGUUCCCCAACAUAAACCCGGUCAGCGGAAGAAGCCGUUCAAAGGAACUAGGGACGGUCCAUCUAAUUUAGACAAAUACUGGAUAGGCCUUGCCAGAUCCUUGGCGCUUCUGACAAGCCUGCCAACCACACCAACAGAAACUGCUGGGUUUUUAAACAGGCCGGUAAAUUAAAUACCGAACAUAAGGGGAAGGGACCUCAAAUCGAGGAUGAUGAUGAGCCUCGCCCUCCGAACACUGGGGGACAGAAGAAGUUUCCCCCCGAGGUGAAAAUGGUGAACAUGAUAUAUGUCAACCAUAUCCCCAAGAGGGAGCACAAACGCGCAUUAAGGGACGUCUAUGCCAUAGAACCCGUCGCCCCAAAAUUCAACCCAUGGUCGGCUUGUCCGAUCACCUUUGAUCGCAGGGACCACCCAACCAGUAUCUGUCACGGAGGUUCGGUGGCCCUGGUACUCGAUCCUAUCAUCGACGGAUACCAUCUCACUAGAGUCCUUAUGGACGGCGGCAGCAGUCUCAACUUGAUCUAUCAAGAUACUGUCCGUAAGAUGGGUAUUGACCCAUCAAGAAUCAAGCCUAGUAACACUACCUUUAAAGGCGUGAUGCCCGGCGUGGAGGGCCGUUGCACGGGUUCCUUAACACUGGAAGUAGUAUUUGGCUCUCCAGACAACUUCCGAAGUGAGGAAUUGAUCUUUGACAUCGUCCCUUUUCGCAGUGGUUAUCAUGCACUGCUUGGGCGAACUGCUUUCGCCCGCUUUAAUGCAGUCCUGCACUAUGCUUAUUUGAAGCUCAAAAUGCCCGGACCACGUGGCAUCAUCAUAGUAAAUGGAAAUAUGGAGCACUCCCUCCGUACAGAGGAGCACACCGCGACCCUAGUAGCUGAGGUACAAGGCGGCCUCAUCAAGCUGAAUAGUUCAUCUGUCAUCAAGACCCAGGACACUGCUAAGCGAGUCUGAUCUGCAUUAUAGUGCGGUAGCUCGGUGGAUCCUGAGCUUGAAUAGCAGUUUCGCCUCCGCCAAUCGCCCUAUGAGGUUGCGGCAUACGUACCGCGCGUACAUAACUACGCACUUAAAAUACCUUUGGCAGCGCCGGAGGCACACUGCGGAAAAGGUCCAUAGUACGGCUUGACCCUAUUCGGACCUUCCAUAUUUUUCCCCUACAGGUUAGUUAAAAACCUGCCUACUCUAUGAUUGUACAGGGGCUCUUUUCUAGGUCCCUCUUUCUUGCAGACGACCAUCAACUCCUCCUCUCUAAGGAUUUCUCACCAAGGAGAAAUGAAGCAGACGUGAAGCAGGGCACCAUUGGGAUCUUCGAACCAAUACUUUUAGGCCCUGCGUAAACCUUUCCCUUGUGUAAAACUCUUGGCAUGUAAAAUGGCCUCGAUAUUUAUGGCAUUAUUUGUAACAACACGUCUCGACGUAUUAAGCAGGGUAGAAAGGAAGCAGUCGAUCACCACUUUUGUUUGGUACUCAUUUAUUGCAUAUUAUCAUCUGUAUUCCCUCCCUACUUUAGACUGCCACACGUGCUUUGGUCCGGCCUUAUCACCGGGGGUUGUAUUCGGCCCUGCACAUUUUCAAGUCUGAACACCUAUAGGGUACUCUUCGGCGUCCUGGAUAUUGCAUUAUAUGCAUCAGCUCUGAGUCAUGUCUUUGGUCUAUAGUUGGGUUGCCCGGCUCCUGUGCUUACCACCUUACGUUCCGCUCGUUCGGCUAAGGUAGUAAAGGGAGAACUACUUCGAUUGUAUUUCUAGUUCGUUCGGUCAAGUACCUCAGUAGAGAAAGCCGAAAACUGACUGUCGUGAUAAGCGAGAGUUGGUCGGCGAUUCAGCGACUUAGUCUUAUACUACAAAUCGUUAGCGAUUCACUCCAUGUUAUACGAGGGGCUGGUCUUCGUCCAGCCACGUGGAAAAGGCACCAUCGUCCGGAUAGCCGCACACGCACCAGGGGCUAGUACUUAUCUCCACAGUCAAACUCAUAUGGCUAAGUGAAAGUAAUAAAGCCGCAUAGUCCAAUUGCCUGGUUCACCUUGCAGACACCUCCUUGACGGACCAAGACGUUGGAUAAAGUGUGGUCAUGCGUUACAUCGAACACCCCUGUAACAUCUACAUGGGGGCUGAAGCCGACGACUGGCAACUUUCAGAAAUAAAACAAUAAACGGCCGCAUAGGAGGCAAAUCGCUUAAAACAAAAGGCACAAACAUGGAUAUGUAAACAUCAUGGGUUCAUCACAUUGUUUGUACAACCCGAACACAUUUUAAUCAAAUAUUAUGUCCUUAGAACAUUGGCCCUCUACUACUCGGGCUCCUUCUAGGGCGUCGUCGAAGUACCUCUCCGGCUUCUGAUGAUCUUUGCCUUCGGGCGGGCCUGCGGUUGCCACUUCGGCAGCCUUCAUCUUCGCCCAUUGCAUCUUGACAUGGGCGAAGGCCAUCCGGGCACCCUCUAUGCAGGCCGAGCGCUAAACAACAGCAAUCCUAGGCCACACAUCGAUAAGAUGCUUCACCAAACCGAAGUAGCUACUAGGGAUCGGCUCGGCCGGCCAGAGCUGGACUAUCAGGUCCUUCAUGGACAAGCCUGCCACCCUAUGCAGCUCCGUCAGUUGCUUCAGGUUAUCGUUCAGAGGUGUCGGGUGUUCCGGCGUGAGAAAUUGCAACCAGAACAGCUUCGGUCGAGUUCCCCUCCUGGGCUCGGAAGAACAGUGCGGCAUCGGCAACACUCCUCAGAAGAUCCGCAAACGCGCCUGGAGAACUCCAUACUCGGGUGAGCAAAGCAUACCUCUGACCUCCAAAGAUACUCUGCAAAAGAAAGGCCUUACCAGCCGCUAUCUGCCUCGCCUGGUGGAUCUCAUCAUGAGCACUCCGGGGCUCGAUCCGCGCCUCUUUGGCAUCAUGGAGAGCCUUGGCGAGCUUAGUCGACUGGUCUGAAGUCUUUUGCUCCAAAGUUUAGCAUUUGUUGAUGGCAUCCUUCAGCUCCUGCUCGACUUCGGCCACCCGAGCUUCGUGUUGGCGGUGGGCAGCUUGCUCGAUCUUCAGUUCAGCAGCCGCCUUGUCAGCGACUGCCUUAUUCGCCUCCGCCUCUUUUUUGGCCUGGGCAAGGGCUCCUUUGAGGGUCUCGACCUCGGCUGCGCCAGCUGUGAUCAUAAUCAAAAGCAUUCCACGGGUUAAUCUCUAAAUAUGCAUAUCACUUUUGAUAUAAAAUUAAAACGUUUAAACAUUAUACGCAUACCUUGUGUCUCGUCGAACUGCUUGUUAAUGCAGUAGAUUUCCUCAUCAGCCACCUGAAGCUUCCGAUUGAGUUCGGAAACUUCUGCGGCCUGAGCGGUUGCCGCCAAUAGGGAAGCCUGUUACAACAACAGAGCAACAUGUUAACUCUCCCUUAUACUAUGUGGAUCCUCUGUCCUGUUUCUUUUAAAAACCGGACAGAGCCUCAGGGGCUACUGGCUGUACACGGGUAUAUCCUUCUAUAUGAAAAGUUUUUUCAGAGCAUUGCGUCUCAUACCUCAAAGCCCAUCAGUAGGCUGGUGAAGGCUUCGUUCAGUCCGCUUUUAGCAGACUGAACCUUCUCUACCACUGCACCCAUCAGGGUGCGGUGCUCCGCUACGAUGGAAGCACGUCCCAGUGCUUCCUCCAGAGCGUUGGGCGCCUCCGGAUUAGUGGAUGCCGCAGGUGGAGUUGAUGCUCCUCCCCCCUCUUUCAAAGGGGGCUGCUCAUCCGAUCCUGGAGCCACGUUGGUCUCCGGAAUGGUGUUCGGCUGGGGCCCGAAUUGUUGGGGCUCCCCACUGUCGGUUGUCAUAGGGGUCGCCUCCCCUAAGUCUUCGACGACCGAGGUAUUAACCUCGGGUGCCUUCUCGACGGCCUCGCUCGCCCCCCCCCUCGGCUAGGAGAGGUCCUUCAGGACGACACUUCAGUGUCCUCCAUGGUGAUAGGCGAGGGGGCUCGCGGCGGCGUGUCACUCUCUUGCCAUUUCGGGUGGCAGAGAGUUCCCCUCCGAUAACGGAGUUUGCGGGAGCUCGCGGGGAGGGCUGAAAGAUAAAUAACAAAAUAACUUAUGCAAUGAAAACAUGUAGAUCAAAGAUACAUGAGUAAGUUUAUGAAUACUUACGAUUCGGCCAGGGGCUUCACCCUGGGAGGUCUCUUGGGGACUAGUUCGGACUCUGAGUCCGAACUGUCCGAGAGGCUCACCUUCCCUCUCUUGGGCGCCUCGCCCUCCGGGUCUUCGGAGGUCACCCUCUUCUUCUUCUUCUUCCCCUUAUGAGGGGAGUCGCUUUCCACCUCCUCCUCCUCUUCCUCCUCGUCUUCCUUGUGGGAAGAGGGGGCUUCGGUCUCUCCGAACACUGCGUCCGAAGGACCUUUGUGGCGGGGGCCACCCUUGGCCUCCUUGCCCUUCUUCUUCUUGACCUUCUUCUCCGGCGCCUGAUAGGGCGCCGGGACCAGCAUCUCCGUUAGCUGGGGUGUGGCCGAGUUCUCAGGCAGUGGUGCCGGAUAAUUGAUCCGCUCCGCCUUUGCCGUCCAGACUUGUACGAAAGGCAGGCAAUGUAAUCUACAUUAUAUCUAAAAUAUUGACCGGAUAAGUCUUCGGAAAAGUUAUGCUUACCACUGAGGCCGGGUUCUCGAUGUCGAACCCGAUGUCCUCGGUCUUCUUCCGCCAUGUUUUUUGUGCCUUGAAAAGCUGCUUCCAUAUGUCUUCGUGUGUGGUGCCGAAGAAGCGCUUCAGGGUCCGUGGCUCCUCCAGAUUGAACUCCCACACGGGAGAGGCCCGGAGUUGGCAAGGAAGAGUGCGGCGGAAGAGCAUCACCUGAAUCACGUUUGUGAGACCGGUGUUUUUGCCUAUCAUGUUGGAGAUGCAUUUUUGUAGCAUCUGCACCUCCGGUUUGGACCCCCAGUCAAGGCCCUUGGUAGUCCAGGAGGUGAGCCUCGUGGGGGGUCCGGAUCUGAAGUCAGGCGUGGCCGCCCAGUUGGCGUUGCGGGGUUCGGUGAUGUAGAACCACUCCUGCUGCCACACCUUGACCGUCUCCACAAACGCCCCUUUGGGCCAGACGGCAUUGGGGAGCUUGCUUACCAUGGCCCCGCCACAGUCCGCAUGCUAUCCGUCAACCACCUUCGGCUUCAUAUUGAAGACCUUGAGCCACAGGCCGAACUGUGGAGGGAUGCGGAGAAGAGCCUCGCACAUGACGAUGAACACCGAUAUGUGGAGGAAGGAAUUUGGGGCUAGAUCGUGGAAAUCUAGCCCAUAGUAGAACAUGAGGCCUCGGACAAAGGGGUGGAGGGGAAACCCUAGCCCUCGGAGGAAAUGGGGAAUGAACACAAUGCUUUCACCGGGCUCCGGAGUAGGGAGGACCUGAUCUUUGUCAGGGAGCCUGUGUGCAAUGUCCGCGGACAGGUAGCCCACACUUCGGAGAUCCUUGAUGUCCUUCUCGGUGACGGAGGAGGCCUCCCAGUUGCCCUUGGAACCAGACCCGGCCAUUGCUAGGGAGGGUGGCAGCGGUGGGAAAGAUCGAAGUUUUGGGCGCUAGAGCUUGGAAGUUGGAAGACAUGAGCUAGAAGAAGGCGAGGGGAAAAAGGAGGGAUCUUUAUCCUCUUAUAGACGGUGAAAAUACCAAACGUCCCCUUCUCAAGCCUUAAACCUCGCCUGUUCCCAAAGAGAUCGUGCGUAAGGAUCGGCUGGAUUACCCAAACCGUAUUGAUGAGAAUCCGUAAUGGGCGGGCACGAUCUCUAUUUUGACAAGACGUGCCAAUGGAGGCUAAGCCUCGACACGCGAAACGGGAGGCGUGAAAACGGUUCGAAAAUAUUAAAGAGUCAAGCAUGACGCUUCGCCGAAAAAGUUUUCAGUAAAAGACAUUGUUCCUAUGUUGACAUCUUGCCUUCAUGGCUAAGGGUUGUAUUGAUUAUGUAGAGCCGGAUACAGUUCCUUUAUGCAGGAGGUUAACUUAAAAUAUUUAGGAGAAGGAACCCGCCUUGCAAUGCCGAAGGUAAUCCACAUGCCAAACACAUCGUCAUCGAAGGCUGGUUCAGGGGCUACUGAGGGGUCCUAGAUUAGGGGGUCCACGGGUGUCCGGUUUAUCCAACAUGGGCCGAACUGACGGGCCGUGAAGAUAAAGCAGAAGACUAUCCCCUGUGUCCGGAUAGGACUCCUAUGUGCGUGGACGGCAAGUUUGGUGUCUGGAUGUAUUCCUUCCUUCCUUUGCAACCGACUCUAUACAACCCUAGGCCCCUCCGGUGUGUAUAUAAACCAGAGGGUUUAGUCCAUAGAGACUAUCAGAACAAUCAUAAGCUGGACAUCUAGGGUUUAGCCACUACAAUCUCGAGGUAGAUCAACUCUUGUAACCCCUAUACACAUACCUAAUAUAAUCAAGCAGGACGUAGGGUUUUACCUCCUUAAAGAGGGCCCGAACCUGGGUAAACAUCGUGUCCCCAUCGUUCCCUAUUACCAUUGAUCCUUAGACGUACAGCUUGGGACCCCCUACCCGAGAUCUGCCGGUUUUGACACCGGCACCAGGUGUCGCACUGUGUGGUGUGGCGCCUACUUGCUAGGCAUUGCACAUCUAGAGAAAUGUCCAGUGAGCAACAGAAGGUUACAACCAGAAACAGAGUAGUGUGUUGCCUAUUUGCUAGGCGUUGCACAUCUAGACAACUGUCUAAUGAGCAACAGAAGGUUACAGCCAGAAACAGAGUAGUGUGGUGCCCAGAGCUAGGCGUCGCACUAUGAGGUGUGGUGACUAAGUGGUAGGCGUUGCACUGUGUAUUUUUGCAGCACUAGUGAUGACUGCAGUUUUUUGGGACUAUUGAAGAAAGCACAUGAAAUAGAUAACACAAGGUACACAUACACAAUCAGAGCAUACAGUGCUACACAUGUAGGGUAACAUAGUACAUAGUAGUUCAAAUAUAGGAGGAGUCCAUACAGCCAAAUCGAGGAGGAGUCCAAAACACAUAGUAGUUCACAAGCAAAUCGAGGAGGAGUCCAAAACACAUAGUAGUUCACAACCAAAUCGAAGAUCAUAGCUUAGAGGAUAACACGGUCAUAGUCCACAACCAAAUCGAAGAUCACAUAGCUCUAUUCUGUCGAGCAAGGCCCCUUUCCCUUCUUCUUCUUCCUCCUCCCUUUUCCUUAUGCGGUGAGCCUCCUGAACCACCCUCUCCAUGAAUAUCUUGUUCUCCCUCUCUUUCUUUGCAUCUUCAAAAGCCCAAAGCUUCAAGGUUCUUUCUUGAAAAUUGUUUAGACGUUUCUUCUCUGCCUCCUCACAUUUAAUCUUCAACUUGUGCCUCCUCGUGAUCUCCUCAAAACCCCUCUCUCAUGUUCCUUCCUCUUCUCUUCGAUCUCCUAUUGCUUCUUCUUCUCUAGUGCGGUUGCAUCCUCCUCUCUCAACUUCUUCGCAACCUUCUCCCACCACCCUGCCAUCUCACCUUCGCCAUCCUUCUCCUCCAUCCCCUUCAUUGUUCCUUUGUUGGGUUGAGAAGCCUCCAUACCUACGAAGAGACAAGCGUAAUAGUUAGUAAUGACAAAAAGAACAUAUGGGAAAACAUGUAAAUUGCAACAUAUUAGUGAAUAAGGACAACAAAAACAUAUGAAAAAUAUGUAAAUUGAAACAUUAUAGUUAGUGAGCAACAUACGGAAAUGGUCCAUCGAGGUAUCCAAACAUUCCUGUAUAACGACCUUACCCAAGACCACCACCACGACCAAGAUCACCGCCGAGGCCAAGACCACCACCAUGGCCAAAAUCACCACCAAGGCCUCUACCACCACCACGGCCUAGAGCACCACCACGGCCAAGACCACCACCACGAGCUCUACCACCACCAUGUCCUCUUGUAAGUCCUAGUUGCCUCCCUCUUUGUUGCCUAGUUCCCCCUUUUGGCCUGCCCCUUGUUGGCUACUACCUGGUUGGUUUGGCACUUGUUGGCUACCACUUGCUUGGCUUGGCACUUGUUGUCUACCACUUGGUUGGCUACCACUUGCUUGGCUUGGCCCUUGUUGUGUACCUGCUUAUUGGCUUGUGCUUGCAUCAUUUUUCUUUGACAUCUUUCUUGGUUUGGUACACUUUCUUUUGUUGUGGCCCUGACCUUUGCAAUACCUCCGCUUAGCUAGGACAACUAUCAAACACCAUGUCAAGCUCAUCCGGGGCCGGUUCAAUAUUGCCUUUCAAAAAGGCGUCUUUGUCCACAUGAUGAACGAACACACAUGUUCUUCCCAUCCCUAUGAGCAUUCAAACAACAAAAUGUAACAUAUCUUCCAUAAGUACUCAUUCAAAGAUUAACACGAAUACAAAUCCAAACAUAGAUAUGAAACAAUAACCCUAACCCCCACUUAACAAUGACCAUAAGCACAACCCUCACAUACUAACAACCCUAACCCUAACCCUAGCCCCAACAUAACAACACCCAUAACCCUAACCCUAACAUACUAACAAGCCUAACCCUAGCACCAACAUAACAACACCCGUAACAAUAACCCUAACAUACUAACAACCCUAAUCCUACGAAAAUGGCAAACAAACAUCUCUUAUCUCCAUACAAAUUUCAAGAUCCAUAAAAAUGUUGGAAAUAUGCCCUAUAGGCAAUAAUAAAAUGGUUAUUAUAAUAUUUCCUUGUUCAUGAUAAUUGUCUAUUGUUCAUGCUAUAAUUGUGUUAUCCGGAAAUCGUAAUACAUGUGUGAACACAUAGACCAUAACAUGUCCCUAGUGAGCCUCUAGUUGACUAGCUCGUUGAUCAAUAGAUGGUUACGAUUUCCUGACCAUGGACAUUGGAUGUCAUUGAUAACGGGAUCACAUCAUUAGGAGAAUGAUGUGAUGGACAAGACCCAAUCCUAAGCAUAGCACUAGAUCGUGUAGUUAGUUUGCUAAAGCUUUUCUAAUGUCAAGUAUCAUUUCCUUAGACCAUGAGAUCGUGCAACUCCCGGAUACCGUAGGAAUGCUUUGGGUGUACCAAACGUCACAACGUAACUGGGUGGCUAUAAAGGUGCACUACAGGUAUCUCCGAAAGUGUCUGUUGGGUUGGCACGGAUCGAGACUGGGAUUUGUCACUCCGUAUGACGAAGAUGUAUCUUUGGGCCCACUCGGUAAUGCAUCAUCAUAAUGAGCCCAAUAUGUGACUAAGUAGUUAGUCACGGGAUCAUGCAUUACGGAACGAGUAAAGUGACUUGCCGGUAACGAGAUUGAAUGAGGUAUUGGGAUACCGACGAUCGAAUCUCGGGCAAGUAACGUACCGAUUGACAAAGGGAAUUGUAUACGGGAUUGCUUGAAUCCUCGACAUCGUGGUUCAUCCGAUGAGAUCAUCGUGGAACAUGUGGGAGCCAACAUGGGUAUCCAGAUCCCGCUGUUGGUUAUUGGCUAGAGAGCUGUCUCGGUCAUGUCUGCAUGAUUCCCGAACCCGUAGGGUCUACACACUUAAGGUUCGAUGACGCUAGGGUUAUAAGGAAGAUUUGUAUGUGAUUACCGAAUGUUGUUCGGAGUCCCGGAUGAGAUCCCGGACGUCACGAGGAGUUCCGGAAUGGUCCGGAUGUGAAGAUUUAUAUAUGGGAAGUCAUCAUACGGUCACCGGAAAUAUUCGGGGGUAUACCGGUAUUGUAUCGGGACCACCGGAGGGGUUCCGGGGGUCCACCUUCCCCGGAGGGCCUUAUGGGCUGUAGGUGGAAGGGAACCAGCCCCUAAGUGGGUUGGGCGCCAUCCCCCCUAGGGCCCAUGCGCCGAGGGUUAGGGGGGAACCCUAAAGGGGGUGCCCCCCUUGCUUGGGGGGCAAGCCCCCUCCCCCUUGGCCGUCGCCCCCCCUCUAGAUCUCAUCUAGAGGGGCCGGCCCCCUUCCCCCUUCUCCCUAUAAAUUGGGGGUGGAGGGAGGGCUGCAACAACACAUCCAAGGCGCAGCCCCUCCCCUCCCCAACACCUCUCCUCCUCCGCGUGAGCUUGGCGAAGCCCUGCCGGAGAACUGUCACUCCAUCACCACCACGCCGUCGUGCUGCUGUUGGAGCCCUCUUCCUCAACCUCUCCCUCCUCCUUGCUGGAUCAAGGUGCGGGAGACGUCACCGGGUUGCAUGUGUGUUGAACGCGGAGGUGCCGUUGUUCGGCGCUAGGAUCGGAAUCCACCGCGAUCUGAAUCGCUAUGAGUACGACUCCCUCAUCCGUGUUCUUGCAACGCUUCUGUCUCGCGAUCUUCAACGGUAUGAAGAUGCACUCCCCUCUCUCUCGUUGCUAGUUACUCCAUAGAUUGAUCUUGGUGAUGCGUAGAAAUUUUUUAAUUUCUGCAACGAUCCCCAACAGUGGCAUCAUGAGCUAGGUCUAUGCGUAGUUUCUAUGCACGAGUAGAACACAAGUUGUUGUGGGCGUCAAUUUUGUCAAUUUACUUGCCGUUACUAGUCUUAUCUUGAUUCGGCGGCAUCGUGGGAUGAAGCGGCCCGGACCGACCUUACACGUACGCUUACGUGAGAGAGAUUCCACCGACUGACAUGCACUAGUUGCAUAAGGUGGCUAGCAGGUGUGUGUCUCUCCCACUUUAGUCGGAUCGGAUUCGAUGAAAAGGGUCCUUAUGAAGGGUAAAUAGAAAUUGGCAUAUCACAUUGUGGUUUUGGCGUAGGUAAGAAACGUUCUUGCUAGAAACCUAUAGCAGCCACGUAAAAAUUUGCAACAACAAUUAGAGGACAUCUAACUUGUUUUUGCAGCAUGUGUCAUGUGAUGUGAUAUGGCCAGAAGAAUGUGAUGAAUGAUAUAUGUGAUGUAUGAGAUUGAUCAUGUUCUUGUAAUAGGAAUCACGACUUGCAUGACAACCGGCAGGAGCCAUAGGAGUUGUCUUAAUUUAUUUAUGACCUGCGUGUCAACUGAAACGUCAUGUAAUUACUUUACUUUAUUGCUAACCAUUAGCCAUAGUAGUAGAAGUAAUAGUUGGCGAGACAACUUCAUGAAGACACGAUGAUGGAGAUCAUGAUGAUGGAGAUCAUGGUGUCAUGCCGGUGACGAUGAUGAUCAUGGCGCCCCGAAAAUGGAGAUCAAAAGGAGCAAACUGAUAUUGGCCAUAUCAUGUCACUAUUUGAUUGCAUGUGAUGUUUAUCAUGUUUUACAUCUUAUUUGCUUAGAACGACGGUAGCCUAAAUAAGAUGAUCUCUCACUAAAAUUUCAAGAAUUGUGUUCCCCCUAACUGUGCACCGUUGCUAAAGUCCGUUGUUCCGAAGCACCACGUGAUGAUCGGGUGUGAUAGGUCCUAACGUUCACAUACAAUGGGAGUAAGCCAGAUUUACACACGCAAUACACUUAGGUUGACUUGACGAGCCUAGCAUGUACAGACAUGGCCUCGGAACACGGAAGACCGAAAGGUCGAACAUGAGUCAUAUAGAAGAUACGAUCAACAUGAAGAUGUUCACCGAUGAUGACUAGUCCGUCACGUGAUGAUCGGACACGGCCUAGUUGACUCGGAUCAUGUAUCACUUAGAUGACUAGAGGGAUGUCUGUCUGAGUGGGAGUUCAUUAAUAAUUUGAUUAGAUGAACUUAAUUAUCAUGAACUUAGUCUAAAAUCUUUACAAUAUGUCUUGUAGAUCAAAUGGCCCACGCUAAUGUCAACCUCAACUUCAACGCGUUCCUAGAGAAAACCAAGCUGAAAGACGAUGGUAGCAACUAUAUGGACUGGGUCCGGAACUUGAGGAUCAUCCUCAUAGCUGCCAAGAAAGCAUAUGUCCUUGAAGCACCGCUAGGUGAAGCACCCGUCCCAGCAAACCAAGACGUUAUGAACGCUUGGCAAACACGUGUUGAUGAUUACUCCCUGGUUCAGUGCGGCAUGCUUUACAGCUUAGAACCGGGGCUCCAAAAGCGUUUCGAGCAGCACGGAGCAUAUGAUAUGUUCUAAGAGCUGAAAAUGGUUUUCCAAGCUCAUGCCCGGGUCGAGAGAUAUGAAGUCUCCGACAAGUUCUACAGUUGUAAGAUGGAGGAGAAUAGUUCCAUCAGCGAACACAUACUCAAAAUGUUUGGGUUGCACAACCGCUUCUCUCGGCUGGGAGUUAAUCUCCCGGAUGACACGGUCGUUGACAGAAUCCUUCAGUCGCUUCCACCUAGCUACAAGAGCUUUGUGAUGAACUUCAAUAUGCAGGGGAUGGAGAAAACCAUUCCUGAGGUAUAUUUGAUGCUGAAAUCAGCGGAGGUGGAGAUCAAAAAGGAAUAUCAAGUGUUGAUGGUGAAUAAGACCACUAAGUUCAAGAAAGGCAAGGGUAAAAAGAGCUUCAAGAAAGACGGCAAGGGAGUUGCCGCGCCCGGUAAGCAAGCUGCCGGGAAGAAGACAAAGAAUGGACCCAAGCCUGAGACUGAGUGCUUUUAUUGCAAGGGAAACGGUCAUUGGAAGCGGAACUGCCCCAAGUACUUAGCAGACAAGAAGGCCGGCAACACCAAAGGUAUAUGUGAUAUACAUGUUAUUGAUGUGUACCUUACCAGUACUCGUAGUAGCUCCUGGGUAUUUGAUACCGGUGCGGUUGCUCAUAUUUGUAACUCAAAACAGGAGCUGCGGAAUAAGCGAAGACUGGCGAAGGACGAGGUGACGAUGCGCGUCGGGAAUGGUUCCAAGGUCGAUGUGAUCGCCGUCGGCACGCUACCUCUACAUUUACCUAUGGGGUUAGUUUUAAACCUCAAUAAUUGUUAUUUAGUGCCAGCUUUGAGCAUGAACAUUGUAUCUGGAUUUCGUUUGAUGCGAGAUGGCUACUCAUUUAAAUCUGAGAAUAAUGGUUGUUCUAUUUAUAUGAGAGAUAUGUUUUAUGGUCAUGCCCCGCUAGUCAAUGGUUUAUUCUUAAUGAAUCUCGAAUGUGAUGUUACACAUAUUCAUAGUGUGAAUGCCAAGAAAUGUAAGGUUGAUAAUGAUAGUCCCACAUACUUGUGGCACUGCCGCCUUGGUCACAUUGGUGUCAAACGCAUGAAGAAACUCCAUGCAGAUGGACUUUUGGAGUCUCUUGAUUAUGAAUCAUUUGACACGUGCGAACCAUGCCUCAUGGGAAAAAUGACCAAGACUCCGUUCUCCGGAACAAUGGAGCAAGCAACCAACUUAUUGGAAAUCAUACAUACUGAUGUGUGCGGUCCAAUGAGCGUUGAGGCUCGCGGUGGCUAUCAUUAUGUUCUCACCGUCACUGAUGACUUAAGUAGAUAUGGGUAUGUCUACUUAAUGAAACACAAGUCUGAGACCUUUGAAAAGUUCAAGGAAUUUCAGAGUGAGGUUGAGAAUCAACGUGACAGGAAAAUAAAGUUCUUACGAUCUGAUCGUGGAGGGGAAUAUUUGAGUCACGAAUUUGGCACACACUUAAGGAAAUGUGGAAUUGUUUCACAACUCACGCCGCCUAGAACACCUCAGCGUAAUGGUGUGUCCGAACGUCGUAAUCGCACUCUAUUGGAUAUGGUGCGAUCUAUGAUGUCUCUUACCGAUCUACCACUAUCAUUUUGGGGUUAUGCUUUAGAGACUGCCGCAUUCACUUUAAAUAUGGCUUCGUCGAAAUCCGUUGAGACGACACCGUAUGAAUUAUGGUUUGGAAAGAAACCUAAGCUGUCGUUUCUUAAAGUUUGGGGAUGCGAUGCUUAUGUCAAGAAACUUCAACCUGAAAAGCUCGAACCCAAGUCGGAAAAAUGCGUCUUCAUAGGAUACCCUAAGGAAACCAUUGGGUAUACCUUCUACCUCAGAUCUGAAGGCAAGAUCUUCGUUGCCAAGAAUGGGUCCUUUCUGGAGAAAGAGUUUCUUUCGAAAGAAGUAAGUGGGAGGAAAGUGGAACUUGAUGAGAUGACCCCUCUCGAACCAGAAAGUAGCGCAGCACAAGAAAAUGUUUCUGUGGUGCCUGCACCGACUAGAGAGGAAGUUAAUGAUGACGAUCAUGAUCAAGUUACCACUGAACUUCGUAGGUCCACAAGGACACGUUCCGCACCAGAGUGGUACGGCAAACCUGUCUUGGAAAUCAUGUUGUUGGACAACGGUGAACCUUCGAACUAUGAAGAAGCAAUGGCGGGCCCAGAUUCCAACAAAUGGCUUGAAGCCAUGCAAUCCGAGAUAGGAUCCAUGUAUGAAAACAAAGUAUGGACUUUGACAGACUUUCCCGAUGAUCGGCGAGCGAUAGAAAAUAAAUGGAUCUUUAAGAAGAAGACGGACGCGGAUGGAAAUGUUACCAUCUAUAAAGCUCGACUUGUCGCUAAGGGUUAUCGACAAGUUCAAGGAGUUGACUACGAUGAGACCUUCUCACCCGUAGCGAAGCUGAAGUCCGUCCGAAUCAUGUUAGCAAUUGCCGCAUUCUACGAUUAUGAAAUAUGGCAAAUGGACGUCAAAACGGCAUUCCUUAACGGCUUCCUUAAGGAAGAAUUGUAUAUGAUGCAGCCGGAAGGUUUUGUCGAUCCUAAGAAUGCUGACAAGGUAUGCAAACUCCAGCGCUCAAUCUAUGGGCUGGUGCAGGCAUCUCGGAGUUGGAACAUUCGCUUUGAUGAGAUGAUCAAAGCGUUUGGGUUUACACAGACUUAUGGAGAAGCCUGUGUUUACAAGAAAGUGAGUGGGAGCUCUGUAGCAUUUCCCAUAUUAUAUGUUGAUGACAUACUAUUGAUGGGAAAUGAUAUAGAAUUCUUGGAAAGCAUAAAGGCCUACUUGAAUAAGUGUUUUUCAAUGAAGGACCUUGGAGAAGCUGCUUACAUAUUAGGCAUCAAGAUCUAUAGAGAUAGAUCGAGACGCCUUAUAGGUCUUUCACAAAGCACAUACCUUGACAAGAUAUUGAAGAAGUUCAAUAUGGAUCAGUCCAAGAAGGGGUUCUUGCCUGUAUUGCAAGGUGUGAGAUUGAGCACGGCUCAAUGCCCGACCACGGCAGAAGAUAGAGAAAAGAUGAGUGUCAUCCCCUAUGCCUCGGCCAUAGGGUCUAUUUUGUAUGCCAUGCUGUGUACCAGACCUGAUGUAAACCUUGCCGUAAGUUUGGUAGGAAAGUACCAAAGUAAUCCCGACAUGGAACACUGGACAGCGGUCAAGAACAUCCUGAAGUACCUGAAAAGGACUAAGGAUAUGUUUCUCGUUUAUGGUGGUGACGAAGAGCUCGUCGUAAAGGGUUACGUCGAUGCUAGCUUCGACACAGAUCUGGAUGACUCUAAGUCACAAACCGGAUACGUGUAUAUUUUGAAUGGUGGGGCAGUCAGCUGGUGCAGUUGCAAGCAAAGCGUCGUGGCGGGAUCUACAUGUGAAGCGGAGUACAUGGCAGCCUCGGAGGCAGCACAUGAAGCAAUCUGGAUGAAUGAGUUCAUUGCCGACCUAGGAGUUAUUCCCAAUGCAUCGGGGCCGAUGACUCUCUUCUGUGACAACACUGAAGCUAUUGCCCUUGCCAAGGAGCCCAGGUUUCACAAGAAGACCAGGCACAUCAAGCGUCGCUUCAACUCCAUUCGUGAAAAUGUUCAAAAUGGAGACAUAGAUAUUUGUAAAGUGCAUACGGAUUUGAAUGUCGCAGAUCCGUUGACUAAACCUCUUCCAUGGGCGAAACAUGAUCAACACCAGAACUCUAUGGGUGUACGAUUCAUCACAAUGUAACUAGAUUAUUGACUCUAGUGCAAGUGGGAGACUGUUGGAAAUAUGCCCUAGAGGCAAUAAUAAAAUGGUUAUUAUUAUAUUUCCUUGUUCAUGAUAAUUGUCUAUUGUUCAUGCUAUAAUUGUGUUAUCCGGAAAUCGUAAUACAUGUGUGAACACAUAGACCAUAACAUGUCCCUAGUGAGCCUCUAGUUGACUAGCUCGUUGAUCAAUAGAUGGUUACGGUUUCCUGACCAUGGACAUUGGAUGUCAUUGAUAACGGGAUCACAUCAUUAGGAGAAUGAUGUGAUGGACAAGACCCAAUCCUAAGCAUAGCACUAGAUCGUGUAGUUCGUUUGCUAAAGCUUUUCUAAUGUCAAGUAUCAUUUCCUUAGACCAUGAGAUCGUGCAACUCCCGGAUACCGUAGGAAUGCUUUGGGUGUACCAAAUGUCACAACGUAACUGGGUGGCUAUAAAGGUGCACUACAGGUAUCUCCGAAAGUGUCUGUUGGGUUGGCACGGAUCGAGACUGGGAUUUGUCACUCCGUAUGACGGAGAUGUAUCUCUGGGCCCACUCGGUAAUGCAUCAUCAUAAUGAGCUCAAUAUGUGACUAAGUAGUUAGUCACGGGAUCAUGCAUUACGGAACGAGUAAAGUGACUUGCCGGUAACGAGGUUGAACGAGGUAUUGGGAUACCGACGAUCGAAUCUCGGGCAAGUAACGUACCGAUUGACAAAGGGAAUUGUAUACAGGAUUGCUUGAAUCCUCGACAUCGUGGUUCAUCCAAUGAGAUCAUCGUGGAACAUGUGGGAGCCAACAUGGGUAUCCAGAUCCCGCUGUUGGUUAUUGGCUAGAGAGCUGUCUCGGUCAUGUCUGCAUGAUUCCCGAACCCGUAGGGUACACACUUAAGGUUCGAUGACGCUAGGGUUAUAAGGAAGAUUCGUAUGUGAUUACCGAAUGUUGUUCGGAGUCCCGGAUGAGAUCCCGGACGUCACGAGGAGUUCCGGAAUGGUCCGGAUGUGAAGAUUUAUAUAUGGGAAGUCAUCAUACGGUCACCGGAAAUAUUCGGGGGUAUACCGGUAUUGUAUCAGGAUCACCGGAGGGGUUCCGAGGGUCCACCUGCCCCGGAGGGCCUUAUGGGCUGUAGGUGGAAGGGAACCAGCCCCUAAGUGGGCUGGGCGCCAUCCCCCCUAGGGCCCAUGUGCCUAGGGUUGGGGGAACCCUAAAGGGGGCGCCCCCCUUGCUUGGGGGGCAAGCCCCCUCCCCCUUGGCCGCCGCCCCCCUCUCAUCUAGAGGGGCCGGCCCCCUUCCCCCUUCUCCCUAUAAAUAGAGGGGUGGAGGGAGGGCUGCAGCAACACAUCCAAGGCGCAGCCCGUCCCCUUCCCAACACCUCUCCUCCUCCGCGUGAGCUUGACGAAGCCCUGCCGGAGAACUGCCACUCCAUCACCACCACGCCGUCGUGCUGCUGUUGGAGCCCUCUUCCUCAACCUCUCCCUCCUCCUUGCUGGAUCAAGGUGCGGGAGACGUCACCGGGUUGCACGUGUGUUGAACGCGGAGGUGCCGUUGUUCGGCGCUAGGAUCGGAAUCCACCGCGAUCUGAAUCGCUACGAGUACGACUCCCUCAUCCGCGUUCUUGCAACGCUUCCGUCUCGCGAUCUUCAACGGUAUGAAGAUGCACUCCCCUCUCUCUCGUUGCUAGUUACUCCAUAGAUUGAUCUUGGUGAUGCGUAGAAUUUUUUUAAUUUCUGCAACGAUCCCCAACAAAAAAACUAGGGUUUCCCCAAACUAGCAAAAAACGAGCAAAUGUUCGCAUUUUUUGGAUCAAAACAAGGGAAUUAGAGGAGAUUACCUUGAAGGAGGGAUUGGGUUCGAAAUCCACGGAGAAAAUCUUCAAAUUUGGAAGAUUUGAAGAAGGAUUUGAGAGGGGGAGAGAGGGCAAAUCACGGGUGGGGGGGUCGGGGGUUGGGGGUGUGUGGGGGAGGGGGGCCAGCCAGCCAACUAGUAACAGGGUGUGCAGCGCCUAAGAGCUAGGCGCUGCACAUAACAAGUGUGGCGCCUAGCUCGCAGGCGUUGCACAUUACAUGUGGGGCGCCUAGCUCUGAGGCGCUGCACUGCUGGGUGCGGGCCUCUGAGGUGCCACGCUGGCCAGACGUGCAACGCCUGAGAGCUAGGCGCUGCACCGUAGGGUGUGGCGCCACCGUGUCGGACGCCACACAAAACGGUCAGCUGACUGAAUUUUUCUCCAAACCAAUUCAGUUUGUGAAUUGAUUUCGUCCAGAGGUUAAAUUUGUCAAAUUUACCGCCAAUAUACUUUUUAAUGUGUUGCUUUAGAUACUUUGGCCUUUACACCGAAAAAAGAGCAUCAUCAAAUUUAUUGAAAUAAAGUGUUAUUUUGUAGGUUAUCCCAAAUGAUUGGGUAUUCCUUUAUCACUAUGACGAGGUAAAGUGUUUUGCCACAUGUGCAGAAAUUUUGAAGAAAUUGUUUUCUGCAAAAGAGUGAGUGGGAGGACAGUGCAACUCGACAAGAUUACAUAAUCUUUGUCAUCAGGUCAAAGAUUGUGCCGGUGAUGGCGAUGCUGUGGGAUCGAGACGGCCGACACAGACAAUGCAUUUUUUUGUUCAGAGCUGAUUAUUCUUAUUUUUUUCUUUUUAAUUAAAGAGGGGAAGAGAGGAGAGAAAGAAGGCAUAUUGGGCUAGGUUGGGUAUGAUUUGUGUGAUUUGGCAUAGGUCCGAUCCAUCAGAUUGUACUUAGGAGACGCGUCGAGGCGUGCUCCGGCCUUCUCAGUUUUUGCCUCAGAUACGAGCUGGGUUUGAGAGAUGACGAACAAUCUGGACAUAUAAGACCGGUUUGAAGAGCUGGGUAGGUCGUAUUUUCACCACCGAUUACUGACCAGGUCAUCCGCGUAUACAGAUAGAAGAAGGUUUGGGCGCGCUUUAUUGUGCCGUUGAUGUUGUUUGGUAAAAAAAAAAAAUUUACUCCCUUUGUCUCAAAAUUUACGGUGAUCGUACAUGCUGUAAUGUUGUGGUUUGGUUCGAUCCACGACCGGAGCAAGUGCAGACCAACUGAACCACGGACAACCUACUAGUGCUAGUGCGCCUCCAUUUCCGAACCGAGGCGAGGCUCCCCUGCAAGUGCUCCCUUCCUUCCUUNNNNNNNNNNNNNNNNNNNNNNNNNNNNNNNNNNNNNNNNNNNNNNNNNNNNNNNNNNNNNNNNNNNNNNNNNNNNNNNNNNNNNNNNNNNNNNNNNNNNNNNNNNNNNNNNNNNNNNNNNNNNNNNNNNNNNNNNNNNNNNNNNNNNNNNNNNNNNNNNNNNNNNNNNNNNNNNNNNNNNNNNNNNNNNNNNNNNNNNNNNNNNNNNNNNNNNNNNNNNNNNNNNNNNNNNNNNNNNNNNNNNNNNNNNNNNNNNNNNNNNNNNNNNNNNNNNNNNNNNNNNNNNNNNNNNNNNNNNNNNNNNNNNNNNNNNNNNNNNNNNNNNNNNNNNNNNNNNNNNNNNNNNNNNNNNNNNNNNNNNNNNNNNNNNNNNNNNNNNNNNNNNNNNNNNNNNNNNNNNNNNNNNNNNNNNNNNNNNNNNNNNNNNNNNNNNNNNNNNNNNNNNNNNNNNNNNNNNNNNNNNNNNNNNNNNNNNNNNNNNNNNNNNNNNNNNNNNNNNNNNNNNNNNNNNNNNNNNNNNNNNNNNNNNNNNNNNNNNNNNNNNNNNNNNNNNNNNNNNNNNNNNNNNNNNNNNNNNNNNNNNNNNNNNNNNNNNNNNNNNNNNNNNNNNNNNNNNNNNNNNNNNNNNNNNNNNNNNNNNNNNNNNNNNNNNNNNNNNNNNNNNNNNNNNNNNNNNNNNNNNNNNNNNNNNNNNNNNNNNNNNNNNNNNNNNNNNNNNNNNNNNNNNNNNNNNNNNNNNNNNNNNNNNNNNNNNNAACCCCCCACCCACCCUGCGCGGAUCGAUCCCCCACCGACUGCGCAGUGGCAGCCGCAGCCGCGUCCCCGUCUUCCUCCCCGCCGAUUCGGCCGAGCGAUCGCGGCUGCCCUCGUCCACCCAUGCUUCCCCGGGUGGCUGCGGACGAGAUAUGAGCCGGCGGGGAAUCGACGGAACCGCCGACGCCACCCGCCAUGGACCCCUCCGAGCGCCCCGCCGUCGUAUUCGACAACGGCACAGGGUACAACCCCGAAUCUCUCCGUCCGAUCCUGCGGCUGUACCGCUGGUGUGAUUCGCGCCUGCGCUUGCAGCAGUAGCUAGGUUAUUUUUCAUUUCGUUUGCGCGGGUCCCUGAGUGCGUGCCCGUGUGUUUCCGCUGACCGCGCUGGAGGAAAAUUGGGGCAGGUCGAAUCGGAUUACCGACUGCCGUGGGAAUAAAUGCAUUUCGUUAGCCAAUGGGACAUGAAUCACCACCAACGACACGUCACACGGUGAGGCUUGCUCCCUAACUGCGAGCCAACAUUCACAUUGGUAGCUCGAGCGUUCUAGAGUAUGGUGAACCUGAACCUAAAAUGACACGAAUUUCUAUGCGUGUUUGAAAAAAAUACCACAGUGAACUUAAGGUAGGAAUUGAAACUGGGUUUAUGGACUUUCUAUGGCUAUAUUUAUUUCAUCACUGGUUGAACUAGGCGUUGGUCCAUUCAUUAUUGGUUAGUCUUUAAAUCCACGCUGCCAGCGGUGAGGCAAUAUCUGUCUGUUUAAUGGUUGGAGCUAUGAACGGAAAAUCUAGGGACUGCUUCUUUUUUGGGAUUAUAGUUAGUAAUGUUGUUCUAGUCCUUUAGCUCAAAUUGUUACUGUUACACUGUAGACUAUUACGAAGUACUAUAACAUGUCUUAACUGAUGCACUAUGUGUGUUCCGUGAAACAUAAAAAUGACAAUCGUUAACGGACUGCGAUAGAAGGCAGGAAAUAACUGUUCCCGCGCACAAGCGUUUUAUCAUGAAGUUGGAUUGUUUUGGUUUCUUCAAAGCCGCUUGAAAUUUUCCAUAUGCAUGUCACAUGCAAAAUUUGCUCUAUUAAGCUCAUCACACUGUGUCCUUACAUAAUCUGUAUGCUCUUAUGUUUAGGUAUAGCAAACUUGGGUUUGCUGGUAACUCCGAGCCGUCUUUCACCAUCCCUACUGUAGUAGCUGUGAAUGAAUCUUUCUUGGACCAAUCAGAGCAGUGCAGUAGUGCAAAUUGGCUAGCACAGUAUAAUGCAGGUGUCAUGGCUGAUCUUGAUUUUUUUAUCGGGGAUGAGGCUCUGUCACAUUUCAAAUCUAGUGGCCUGUACAGUUUAAGAAGCCCAAUUCGUCAUGGUCAGGUAUGCAUAUACAUUUUCUGUUUGUAAUAUUGUCCUUCGCGGGUGCACCAUGCCACUAUGUCAUAUCUUUUUCCCUGCUCUCCAGGUGAAUGACUGGGAUACAAUGGAGAGAUUUUGGCAGCAAUCCAUUUUCAAUUAUCUACGGUGCAAUCCUGAGGAACACUACUUCCUACUUACAGAUAGUCCUGUCAGUACGCCGGAAAGUCGUGAAUGUAUGGGAGAAAUUAUGUUUGAGACCUUUAAUGUCCCUGGUCUAUAUAUUUCUGUGCAAUCUGUGCUCAGCCUUUCUGCUGGAUUUGCAUAUCUGAAAAGUCUUUCUGAAGAGGAUUCAGAAGAUUCUGUGGUAGGUCUUGAACUCACCUCCUUUCAUGCUUUUGUUUGAUCAAGUAUCAAGAUGGUCAUCAACCCGUGAACUUCAUCUCUUUCACUGGAACAAAUCACCUUGUGAAUGUUUUAACAGAUAACCAAAAUUCUCAUAUUGAUCUCAUACCCACAUUAAGAUAAACUCCCCUUUUACAUUUUACAGAUUAUUCUUUGGAAUUGUUGCCUUGCAUGUUUUGGCAAAAUUUUGGUCCAUCUUUGAAUUAUAUUACCCAUUCAUAUCGUACUUGUUGCUUGCCAGCCCCUGGCGUUUCCAUUCCAAUUUGGAGAUAUGUUUUGCUAUUCCGUACUCAUAAGCAUGGUCCCUGGAGAAUUUUGAGCGUAACACAACCUCAUGAUAUGAAGAAACCAUUUUGUGAGAAUUAUGUGAUGACUGCUUAUUUCUCACUCGCCAAUUCUGCAAUGAGCGCCAAUUAACUUGCUAACUAAAACUUAUGUUUAUCGAGAAUUGUGGUUGUGAAGCUCUGUAAAGAUAUUUUGUUCUAGACAUAAAUAGUACCAUAGGAGUAAUCAUCAUUGAUGAAGUAGACUCAUCUAAAGAUCAAGUGUUCUGGCAGGAUACAACUCUUCUCGUGAGUUUGACCAAUAUAUUUUGUCAGUCUGAUAUGACAGGUGUAGUAGUUGACAUUGGGGAUGGAGCUCCACAUAUUGUGCCAGUUGUAAACGGCUAUGUAAUUGGGAGUAGCAUAAAGUCUUUUCCUCUUUCCGGAAGUGAUGUAACUCAGUUUGUUAUGCAGCUCUUACAGGUAUUUAAUUUUCUUCCCACAUUUUCCUGGGGUUAUGUUAGGGUGUCGACGUCCUUGUGCUGUCCAUGAAUAGUUUCUGUCCAUGAAUAGCAUAUUGCAAAUGCAUUAAUAGAAGCAAGUUUGUGCAGUACCGACUAAACCAGAACAAUUGAAUAGCAAUUUUUGGAUUUUCCUGAAGUUUGGGUGGUAUGGAAUUAUCCAGGAAAAAGGAAAUGUGUUAGCAGUAAGAAGAGACCAUCAUGUAUUUGUUAGGUACUUCAGCAAAUAUUUAUUAUGUUAGAAUAUUUAUCUGGAUAGUUCAAUGAUAGUAAUAAUCGGAUAACACUGCAUUUCGGUCAACAAAGCCAAAACGAUGCUUCAGUCAAAUAGUUUCUACUUUCAUGGAUAUCUAUUCUGAAGCCUCCUGGUAAGUGAUCAUGUUAAUAUGCGAACCCUAGAUCUGUUGUGCGUUAUUGCUUGGUAUCCUGACAUUAGUUUUGCUUCUCAGUAUGGUUGCUUGAUUAAUCAACUUGGAAGAGUUCGCAUUCCUUUUGUAAGGAUACCUAAGGUUCCAGUCUCCCCCAUAUUAUACCCACAGACCAUAUAUCAUCCACAAGAAGUUGAUUUUGUGAAUAUGUUCUCUGAUGAAAUAUGGCAAUUUUUUAUCUGGAUCACACAAAUCUAGAAAACAAAACCUGCACCAUAGCAUUCACAAGUGUUGCUGUUAUCGGCUUUGAGUCGUAUGUGCGGCGGAAUUAUACGGAACCAGCAACAAUAAUAGACUUGUACUUGCAUAAAACUAGAACGAGUUGAAAUGUCCAUGUUGGAUGCUAUUUGUACUUUAAAUUAAGUGGAGUCCAAUUAAGUUAGAAAGAUAUUAUAGUUCGGUCAAGGGUUUCUGUUGUGAUCCAAUUUGUGGAUCAAGUUAGUUGUUUUAUAUAAAUGACUAGCAUUUACCUGUUUUUAGACAACAAAUCAAUGAACGAAAGUUCCAAUAAGCCUCAGAGCUUCUCUUCCAUCUCAGAGAUGAGCCCUGCUGCCGGACAGUAGAGGGCCCUCUCGUUGGUCUUCAGACCUUUACUAUACCCAAAUUAUCUCAUUGUGGAUCAAUGUCCAUAACAGCUGCCAUAAUGUUUGGGUGGCCUCUUAGCCUCAGUUGCAACUUUAGAUUGAAUGCAAAUAUGUAAUUUAAAAUGAAAAACUGGAAUGUUGUCAUCUGGGUAAGAAACUCCAUUUUACUGUAGAACUGGUGCGACAUCAUUUGCCCUGAAUAUUUGGUUGUGGCCCAUUCUGUAGAAGCUAGUGAAACAUGGUACUCUGAUAAACAAUGUAGUUUGUUUUAGGAUUUGGACCAGUCAAACAUUGUUAAGUUUGAUCAUUACAAUGGAAAAUAUUACCUACAUUGGCAACAUGAAAUUGGUAUUACUAGAUUCAUUGUGAGAAUACAUUUUUGUAAUGCAUAAUUAUUUUUAUCUCAAGCAACAUAUUGUUGUAUAAAUUGACGAUCAAAGUCUGCGUCUAUGUCCCAAACAACAUUCAUUGGUGAUCAGAGGGGAUAGAUUUCUGCACGUACAUGGCUGCUUUUAUGUUUAUGACGUGUAGUAGUAUUAUAAUAUGAAAUUCAGUUGGUGAUUUAGUAUCAUCGUGCGUUAUGCAGGAAAGGGGUGAGCUUCUUCCACCUGAUGAUGCUUUGGAUAUAGCUCGUAGGGUGAAAGAAACGUAUUGCUAUACUCCUUCAGACAUUGUCAAGGUAUUGUGUUGCUUGGAACCAGUGUCUUGAUAUUAUAUUUUCUUGUCCUUGUAUUUUCCAAUGAUAUACAGAAGCACAUUAUUCAGUGGAAUAUUUGAGAGUUGAAGUUUCUCCACUAAAGUCAAAUAUAUAAAACCUAUUCUGUGCAAUGCUGAGAAAUCACUGUUAUUUUGUUAUAUGGAACUGUUCUACAUGCUGCAUAUGUUUGCUUGCAUUGUUGUAAUACCUACCUUUCGGACUUUACCUUUUGCAAUACAAACUCAUUUAUUCAUAUUCCUUUUUCUUUAUGGAUUUAUCUGUUCACAAGUAUGAUAGGCGGUUGAAUUGUAUAAUUUCAGGAGUUCAAGAAGCAUGACAGCAAGCCUAGUAAAUAUAUCAAACAAUGGUCUGCAAUCAAACCGAAGACUGGGGUUCCAUACACAAUUGACGUUGGAUAUGAGCGUUUUCUUGGACCAGAGGUUUGUCCGUACACCGUAUUCUACCAUUCAAUUUCAUGGGAAUUUUUCAUGCAGUGGACCUAUCCAUUAUUCUCCCUCCGUUUCAAAAUAGAUGUUGUUCUAGCCUUGCCAUUUUUUCUCAGAAUGCUUGUCAGUUUACAUAAGUCAUUCUGUUCUUACUUUACCCUUAAUCAACAACAAACAACAACUAAGCCUUUAGUCCCGAACAAGUUGGGGUAAGCUAGAGUUGACCCAUAAGAUCUCGAAACCAGCUCAUGGUUCUGGCAUGUGGAUAGCUAACUUCCACGCGCCCCUGUCCAUGGAUAGUUUUUUGGUGAUAUUCCAGUCCUUCAGAUCUCUCUUUACGGACUCCUCUCAUGUCAAGUUUGAUCUACCCCGACCUCUCUUGACAUUAUCAGCACGCUUUAACCGUCCCCUAUGCACUGCACUGUAUAAUAUAUGUCCAAACCAUCUCAGCCGAUGUUGGACAAGCUUCUCUUCAAUUGGUGCUACCCCAACUCUCUCGCAUAUAUCAUCAUACCAGACCCGAUCCUUCCUUGUGUGGCCGCACAUCCAUCUCAACAUGCGCAUCUCCGCUACACCAAACUGUUGAACAUGUCGCCUUUUAGUCGGCCAACACUCAGCCUCGAUUCUUCCUGCAUCUUGUUUGCCCAAAAAAUGAGGUUGAAAAGCUUAGUUAGCCAUACUAUCGCCAUGUCUCUGAGGCCUCUCCACACCUCAAUGGUUAAUCCUUUUUAAAGCCUCUCUGACCUCAGACUCUUGGAUUCGUCGCAGAAAACGCCUGCUGGUAUCAUCAAAGUAGUUGUCCAGCUCAAUAUUAUAGCUCCCAUUCUCUCCAUUGAACAGCUUGUCGAAGUACUCCCGCCAUCUGUGCUUAAUCUCCUCGUCCUUCACCAGUAGUUGAUCUGCUCUGUCCUUGAUGCAUUUGACUUGGUUGACAUCCCUCAUCUUCCUCUCUCGGAUCUUGACCAUCUUAUAGAUGUCCCUUUCGCCUUCCUUCGUGUAAGCGCUAGUAGAGGUCCUCAUACGCCUGACCCCUUUACUCACAGCUCGCUUUGCGUCUUUCUUUGCCACCUUGUACUUUUCUAUGUUGUCUACACUCCUAUCCAGGUGUAGGCGUCUGAAACAGUCUUUCUUUUCUUAAUAGCCUUCUGGACAUCAUCUUCCACCAUCAGGUAUCUUCAGCUUCGCUUCUACUUACCGGGGUCACUCCAAACUCCUCUGAAGCCACCUUACGAAUGCAAGUCGUCAUCUUCAUCCACAUAUUGUUUGCAUCACUCCUUCCUCCCAAGGGCCCUCGUUAGGCCCUCUCCUUGAAAGCCUAUCCCCCUUGAGCCUCCCCCACUUCGUUCUAGCGACUGGUGCGCUUAUCCUGAUGGACACGAUCCGAAUGCGGAAGUCAGCCACCACAAGCUUAUGUUGAGGGACAACACUCUCUCCAGGUAUCACCUUACAAUCUAGGCAGGCACGCCUGUCUUCUCUUCUCUAGAGGACAAAAUCAAUCUGGCUAGAGUGUUGACCACUACUAAAAGUCACUAGAUGCGACUCUUUUUAAAGAGGGUGAUAGCUACAAUCAUGUCGUAGGCUAGAGCGAAGCUUAAGACAUCUCCUUGAUUCCCGAUGCCAUAGCCAAAGCCCCAUGCACCCCUUCAAAACCUGUGUUAGAUGUACCCGCGUGACCAUUGAGGUCUCCUCCUAUGAAGAGCUUCUCGCCAAUAGUUACGCUCCUAAGGCCCUGUACAAUGCAAGGUGCUUAGGGGAGAUGCUUGGAGAAAUAAACCAGGCUUUCCUUAAGCACCGGUGCUUAUUUGUACAGGAUAGACGCUUAAUUAGGCGUCUCUCCUACAGAAAUAGGCACCGGUGCUUCAGAAAAACCCGGUUUAUUUUUCUAAGCACCUAGCAUUGUACAAGGCCUAACCAUGCCCUCAAGGCCUUCCCAAAACCCCCUCUUGGUGUUCCCAUUGUGGCCUAUUUGCGGGGCAUACGUGCUGAUAACAUUGAGAACCAAGUCCCCAACUACCAGCUUGACCAGGAUAAUCCGGUCUCCUUGCUUCUUGAUGUCUACCACUCCAUACUUGAGGCUCUUGUUGAUCAAGAUGACUACUCCAUUUCUGUUUGUAUUUGUCCCAGUGUACCACAGCUUAAGCCGGUAUCCUCCACCUCCUUCGCCUUCUGUCCCCUUUAUUUGGUUUCUUGGACGCAAAGGAUAUCAACACCUCUCCUCACCACUGUGUCAACUAGCUCCCGUAACUUACCUGUCAGGGACCCUACGUUCCAGCUACCUAAGCGGAUCCUACUAGGCUCGGGUAGCUUCCUUACCCUUCACACUCGUCAAGUCAAAUGCGAAGACCCUUGCUCAUUUUGUGCCCCUUAAUCAAUGUCACAAAAAGGAGAACUAAUUAACUCUUGUGCUUGCAUGCUUUGCUUUGGGGAGGAAAAAUAGGUUAUUUCAUGACCUUGUGAGGAAGAGAUGAGCAAUAUAGACAUGUUCUGCCCAACUCUAAAACAAAAUAUGUUUGAAAAGGAGGGGGUACUUGAUUUUGGUUACACCAUGGGAAUAGACUGGAAGCUAUGUAGUAUGAUAGAACAUGUAUGACUGAUUGAAGAAAUCAUUUCAUUCUUCAAGAUUUAUAGUAAUAAUGAAAAUAUGGGGUCCCAACAGAUUAAAUUAGUACUCCCUCCGUUCCUAAAUAUAAGUCCUUUUAGAGAUUUCAAUAAGGAUUACAUACGGAGCAAAAUGAGUGAAUCUACACUCUAAAAGAUGUCUAUAUACAUCCGUAUGUAGUCGAUAUUGAAAUCUCCAAAAAGACUUAUAUUUAGGAACGGAGGGGGUAAUUCUGAUGGUUCACAGGUAUGAAACUAUGUUGAACUGCUAAGCUCUUAUAACCAGUCAUCAAAUCAAUGGACGCCUUUGCAUGUUUAGACUUGAGGUUGCAAUGCCUUAUUACAUACUUAUAGAAGUAUCAUCUGACUGACAGACAGGUUGACCAAUAUAUGGGAAUUUGGAUCAUGAUUUUCUUUAUUCCUAAAUACGUAAAUAAUAAGUAGCUCAGGAUUUUUCUAGGGAAAUGGUUUAUCAUUAGUCUAUGGGGGUUAUGAAAUAUAUCGAGAAGCUCUAAAGGAAAUCCUAACAAUUUUAUGUUUGUUUUUAGCUGAACUUAAUUGUGUAAGUUGUUACGCAUUUUUAUUAGAAUAAAGAGGCAACAGUUUACAAGUGUCCUUGCUCUUGCACUUGACACAAGUAGUAGUUGGAACCAGUGUAACUUUUUAAUAACACAAAUGCAGAUCUUCUUCCAUCCUGAGAUGUAUUCUGCUGACUUCUCCACUCCUUUACCUGAACUGAUUGACAGCUGCGUUCAAUCUGCACCAAUUGACACAAGGAGAGCUUUGUAUAAGGUGCUUUCUUUGAGCUCUGCAAACACAUCUAAGAAUAGAAAGUGACAUGUUGAUGUGACACUAUGAAAUUCCACUAUUUGCAGAACAUAGUAUUAUCUGGUGGAACUACCAUGUUUAAAGACUUCCACAAGAGACUCCAAAAUAAUAUAAAGAAGAUAGUAGACGAACGUGUUGCCGAAACUAAUGCACAUCAUCGUGUGGAGGUGAAAGUAAGUACAACAAUGCUUGACUGAGCUCAUGCCAUAACUAGUUGAAUUGUCCUCUAUAUGUUCAUGUUUGAAUGUCAGCCUGUUGUAAUCAAUAGUCUAUAUGUGAUUGAUUCUGUAUGUUUUGUUUGUCUAUAUUUUGAUGCCAGCCUGUUGAGGUCAACGUAGUCACCCAUCCUAUACAGAGCUACGCAGUUUGGUUCGGGGGUUCUGUAGCUGCAUCCAGCCAUGAAUUCUUCGAGGUACCUGCCACUUGACACUUCAUUUGACACGCAGAAGUGAAUAUUAGUGCAUAUAUUUCUGCUAUAUUAACUGUUGUAUGUCGAUGGAAGGCCUACUAUUGCAAGUCUUUCAGUCCACGCCAAUCCAGACAUUGCCAUUGUAAUUGGGCUAUGAAUUCAGUCAUAUUUUUGUCCACAUGAAUAGACAGAUAUACAUGGAAUUAAGUGGUUAUUUUUUCUGUUCUCAUUCAGUGCUGCCACACAAAGGAAGAUUACGAGGAGCAUGGAGCAAGCAUCUGCCGAACAAGCACCGUUUUCAAAGGAAUGUACUGAAGUUUUGACAUAUCCGACAUUUUUGUAGGAGCUCUACUAGGUUUCUCCAAAUAGAAUAGAGUCAAAAUUGAUUCUCCUUUUGGCUCGUCUCAACCAUCACUGGGCCGAUAGAUUGUAGCUCAAUAUGUAGCUCUCUCUGUUCUGUACGACAUGUUGUGUAUAGUCAGCAAUUUUCUUCCUGUUCCAGGUGCAUGUUUGUUUGUAGCCAGUUGUGGUCGUAAGCAGAGAGAUGUUUUCCCCUUGUAUUCUUGUUUCAUCUAGAUAGAGGGUUGCUGAAAGAGUUUUGCUAUGUAUGGAGCUGUGUCAAACGCUAUCUUGUUUCCCUUUUACUAUUUUGUGCUAUGGACCCGGAGAAAUGCGAGACUGCUACGGGUGCUCAAUAUCUGCUCCUGCCGCAUCGACGGGCAUGUGGGACUUUUUGGCGUCUUGGAACAUGAAGAGAACAGUUUAUGUAGGUAACUUUUAUGUCCAUAAGUUUUAGUGUGAGCUGAAGUAAUAUAUAGGGGGAGGGGGGUUAUAUAUCCUUUGGAGGGUUGUAGUCUUGAGUAGUGUUGGAUCGGCACUUUGUCAUCUUCGUUGGAGCCAGGCCAGCGUGAUAAGGAACAAGUAACGAGUGACAUUGGAAUCGUCGAGUAACAUUUUCGGUUGAGUUACACAGAAGGUCAAGGUGAGGCAGUAGAUCGGCUUCCGUGGUCCAGCAGAGCAGCUCUGCAGCAGUGACAUCAACAGUGCAUUUCACGUCCUGUAUUCGCAGUCUUUGCCAUGUCUCAGAAAUUAAUUGGCGCGGAUCCCCGUAGUACUGUUUACAGCGAGAUACCGGCUGUUGGUCCUCUUUUCUUACCGGACUGGUAGCAAGCUUUGAUUGGAAACCAGCCAAAUCCAGCCCUGCUAGUGCCAGGCUGCAGUGAAGACCGUUGUCGUUGGGUCCAGCACAAGGACCACUUUUGCCUGCUUGCUCCCUCUCUCUCUCUCUGUGCUUCCAAUAACUGACCUGCACAGCACCGUUUGGAUUUUGCAAACCAAAUCCAAGCCACAGCAACCGCAGAGACGCCAGAAAAACAUCGCGCAAGGAACCGAAAAGACACAUCAUCUAACAAUGUGUUACGCUUCAAUGAUCCACACAAGUCUCGUUCAAACUUACACACGAUGUAUUGAAAAAUAAGGUAACAUCAGGCAUAAGCAAUGUUAGGUACUCGUACUAAUAACAGAUUGCCGACAUUAUUUUGGACUCUAAAGACUCGCAGAUAAAUUGGUUGAGGUUCCAGACUACUCAAGGUAAAACACCGCUACUUGUUGUAAAAAGAGAUUCCUUAGAUCUAUCCUCUGCACUUGGAUGGUUGUCCUUCCCUCUCUCCCUCCU